GUGCCAAGCAGCAGCUAGCUAGUAGUUCCAUUCGGUCCUAGCUAGUGCAGGCAUGGCCGCUGGGCUCUCCUUCAAGGCCGUGGCGCUUGCCGCGCUCCUCUCCGUGCUCGUCGCCUAUGGCGCUCGCGCUCAGCAGCAGCCGAGCAACGCCACGGAGUCCCAGGACAGGUCCUUGCUGUCCUACAGCGGUGGCUGGCUCCCGGCCAAGGCCACCUGGUACGGCGCGCCCACCGGCGCCGGCCCCGACGACAACGGUAUGGACCAAGAUACCUCUCCGCGUGUCUCAUCAGCAUUUGUUGUCCGGUCCUGGGCAAUGUGGCAUUGUGGCUCAUCCUGUGCCGUGUCUUGGUGCUGAAUCUUUGCCAGGCGGUGCGUGCGGGUUCAAGCACACCAACCAGUACCCCUUCUCGUCCAUGACUUCCUGCGGCAACGAGCCCAUCUUCAAGGACGGCAAGGGCUGCGGCUCAUGCUACCAGGUGCGUUGCGUACUGAUCCGGUUUCGCCAUGGCGCCGAUCGCCAUGCACGAUUAUAGCAGUUGGUGCCCGGUCAUUUUAUUUGGUUGGUCAAAUAAAGAUGCCAGUUAGCGUCCGCAGCGCCACAGGUUGCUCAUCUUUAUGAUGGGCAGCUAGCUAGGCUAGGACUAGGAGUACGUGCACCCGUUGACCUUGUGCUUGGCUUCCUCCAGAUUCGAUGCCUCAAGAGCAACCACCCUGCCUGCUCCGGCGCGCCGCAGACGGUGGUCAUCACCGACAUGAAUUACUACCCGGUGGCCAAGUACCACUUCGACCUCAGCGGGACGGCGUUCGGCGCCAUGGCCAACCCAGGCCUCAACGACAAGCUCCGCCACGCCGGGAUCAUCGACAUGCAGUUCAGGAGGGUGCCGUGCAACUUCCCGGGCCUGACCAUCAACUUCGUCGUCCAACACGGCUCGAACCCCAUGUACCUGGCGGUGCUCGUCGAGUUCGAGGACAAGGACGGCGACGUGGUGCAGGUGGACAUCAUGCAGCACAACUCCGGCUACUGGGAGCCGAUGCACGAGUCCUGGGGAUCCAUCUGGAGGAUCGACCCCAACCGCCCGCUCCAGGGCCCUUACUCGCUGCGCAUCACCAACGAGUCCGGCAGGCAACUCGUCGCCAAGAACGUCAUCCCGGCCAACUACAUCCCCGACACCAACUACCGCUCCUACGUCCAGUACUAACUGCUCGCGUCGAUCGAUCAGAUAGCCGCAUGAUGAGCUCCAUCAUCGGCUUAAGUGUUCUCGCUUAGUGGUGGCCGGCCGUUGUUGGCAAUUGCGCUGAGGAUUUUUCACCUCAGUUCCAUUGUUGGUGUGUGUGUGUGUGUGUCCUGAAGAUUUGUGGGAAAUUAGAGGAGGCAAGCAUCAAUGUGCUCUCCCGCCCACUGUCACUCUACCAUUACCGGUGUGUAACCAGCAAAAUAUGGUCAUAAUUUAUACGUGUGCUGCUAUUUAACUAGCAUGCUGUCUGAAAAGCAGGACUCCCUGCCUUUUGAGCAUUUCAGCUUAUUCACUACUCCUGUACUCCGGAAAUUACUAGUUUCGCUGCACUUGCAGCCUAAAUUUUCCAUCCUCUUCGUUUCAAAAAAAAAAUACAUCUUCUGUAUACCAAUUUUCAUGUACGAUCAAACCCUGAACUUUGAGAACCUCAAUGUAGGAGUAUCACUAAAGCAGUACUGUUAUGUGGUUCUCACUUCUCACGAAUUACGAUGUCAGGGCCUCCAUGGCUCAUAAAUGGAUUGACUUUCUACCCAGAUGAUUCUGGUCUGUAUUCUAGUACAGGCUGGUCUGUAGCUGACUCGGAAAUGCACCUCUUUUCUUCAUAGUACGGCCACCCACCAGAGAUUCAGAGGACUGUUAACGAUAAGCCUUUUUCUAUCCGAUAUUGUUCCAGCAGAUUUGUCGGUUGAGAAAAGCUCAUGAAAGUUCUCAAUCCAACUCCAAUCUAUCACAAAGCAAACAGCACUGCUCUCUACUCUACUACUCCUACAUUACGGUGGUAAGUUCGCUGGUGAUGGGAAAGCAAAUCAUUCUGCAGAUCUUCCAACAAAAGUCCCUUUCCCGCCAAAGCUCUUGCGCAACCGAUUCCAUAACCGUCAAUCCUCGAAGUAAUCAUGGACGGGUCUUACUUUCACGUGGGACCCGCCAAAGAAAUCGUUGCCAAAAGAAAUUAUCGCAAGGCCCCAUUGGAUUCGCGCCGUGAUUACAGGCGCUAAACCCCAAGGUAAUUAACAUGGCUGACUUGCAAUUAAUAGAAGCUUCGGCGAGCCAGACGACUUCCUUCGCCUGUGUCAGUAAAUGUUACUAGUAAACACGAUCACGUGAUGUUGCUCAAGAAAAAAUGCCGAUGGAAUUGUGAACUGAUUAUGGCGAUGAUCGAGGAUGGAUCUGUGAUAAAAGGGAAAAUUUCGGGACACGUUGCCGCCGCUUGAUGAGCCAUGAUUGUCGUAGUAUACGCAUGGAUGAACACACUGCUACCCUCACCAGUCACCAGUGCUUGCUUUAUCUCUGAAACAAACUGACAGCAAUAUCUAUUUUAAUGCAUUUUCAAUGGUGAUAGAAGGAUAGUAUUGUAAAAUAUUUUUGCACCCAUAUUGUUUUAUGGAAAGAUUAUUGGUUGUUCAAAAGAAAUAUAUUCAUAGUGAAAGCUUAAAUGUUUAACUAUUGCCUGACACGCUUUUUUUUAUCUGAAUAAAUACAAUUUUUAGAGAACGAAGCACAGGGAUGUACUUCACGUCCCCUGAACUCCUCUCGAUGAGGUCAUACUUUUAUUGAAUGUUUGAGUUCUCCAUCACCUGAAAAAGAAAAACAUGUUGCAAUCCAGGAGUACCAAUCAAGUUGCACUCUAUUGAACCAUUUCCAUCUCCAUUUUUCUUUUACGGAUAAACUUGAGAUACGCGUAUCUCGCCUACCAGCCAUAUAGCCAGCACUCGAGCCCCCACCAUUUUAUCCCUUCUUGUCGGAGCAGCGAUAUAGACGAAGAAGAAGCCCCCCGGAACGCGACGCGACGAGCUCUCGCGUCGGGACAACUUGACUUGGGGGCGCGCGGCCACGGGGCCGCAUGUGCGGGGCGAAAGGCCGGACGCCGACGGCGCGGUCGCCCGCGCCGCGCGCAUGUGAGGUGCGGGGCCACCGCGAGAGCAACCCGCGGAAACCCGUCCUCAGCCCUGCGCUCAGCGGAUCCUGGGGACCCGCCCUCAGCCCUGCGCCGAUGCGCACACUUGCUGGCCGGCCGCGGCCCCGCCGGCUAGCUAGCGAACUGAGCUCUCAGCUGCCCGCUUGUCUCUCCCGGCGGGCGGCCGGCGUCGCCACGUCCGGGCAAGUGGUUGCGCCCGCGGCGGGUGUUUGUGCCGCGCACGCACGGGCUUCUGUGCUCUCCCGGGGUGUGUCCGCAUGUUACUCGGGAGACUAGCAACAGUCUUGCACGUACGUACGUCGUGUGUGAUUUGACGCUUUUUCAGUGGCUCCCCGUGCGUAUGCGUACGCAGAAUUAUCGGGCACCAGCAGCUUGGAUAUGAUGUGCUGUGGUCAUGCAUGGCCGUAAUUGGCUAGUACUAGUAAGCAGUAACGAAACUUGUAUGGCACUCCAGGAUAUCAUGGCGGAUGAUGAUGGUACACGAUACGAGUUGAUAGGAUCAAGUUGCGCACGUACGCUCAAUAAUGAUGGCACUCCGAGACCCAAAAUCGGGGCCUGUUUUCAGGUGCUGGGUGCGUGCUGCCAAGCUAACUUCCUUCGCUACUUGGCAGACGGAAUGUUUGAACAACCAAAGUUAAAAAAAGAAUGCAGGCCCGGUCGGCCGCAUUAGGAUCGAUCAAAAUAACCGAAACCAGCGUACGUCCAAAACGGGAUUCCAGAUAUCGGCAUUCCUUCUGCCCCACGGAGCUAGUAGAAAACAAGGCCGAAUGGGCGACUGGCCGGGAUGCCAUGCGCCACGUCACGCCUGCGUCCAUGGCUCCUUGCAAGCUAGCUCCGACUCUGAGUUGCCCAUCACGGCAUCACAUGCGUGGCAGCUGAACUUGUGGGAGUGCAGUGAUGAGGAGGCCGGCCGGGCCAGCGAGGUUCAACAGAUGAUGCCGUCGCUUACAAGCUUAAGCAAGCAUCCAUGCAUGCUCGCGGGCAGCCGGGCACACAAGUUCACGUGGCAGGUUUUUUGCAUCGUGGUCAGGGGGAGAAGCACACAAACCGGGGGCUGUGCGUGGACUGCGGCGGCGGCGAACGCCGUGGCGUGCUCGGCUAUCACGGAGCCCGUGAUCGCCCCGGGUUAUUAGGGGGUGGCGAUGUGAUGUGAUGCGCUCGCUGAUCGUGGCUGGUCAGGAAAUUCGUUACCAGCUCACAUGGGUCUGCUAGCUGCUGAUUGCUGAAGAAGAAUCGAGAUGUCAUUAACGCAAUAUGUCACCCACCUAUACUGUUAUGUGAAGUCUGCAUCAGGUGGGCAGCUCGUGCGUUUUCGGCGAUCCCGUGCUAAGGCAAACGCUUUUUAUUUGGUCAGGGCUAGCUAGCUAGCUGAUGGAGGAGAUGGCGGACGUGUCCGUGGCCAACCUCCACGUCGUUGCAAGAACGGAGUCUCUCGGACCCUGACAGAAAAUCCUACACUAAGCUGCACGGGGACCAGUAUACACUGCAACAGCUACUACCUGACGAUACGGUACCCUAGACCCCUGGAGUACGUGGAUGGUACGAGUAUAUCAGACGGCCAAGGUAGCGGCGAAUGCAACAGUUCGUUGUCCGACUCCGUUUUCGGCACCACUUUAAUGGGCUUUGGCGGCACCACUCAACCAUCAGCAGCAGAAGAGGCCGCGCGCGCGCAUUCAAGGGGAUGAAAGCGGCCACGGACCGGCCGGCUCCCCAUGUGCGCCUGCGCUCUCCUACGCCCCCCACCCGUCGCGCUCACCUACGUCUCCCCUGCCCCGUCCGUCGUCCUUGCCCCAUCCAACCGAUGGAUCCACGUCGUUCUCGCGCCCGCGGACGCGAGCCUCCCGCGGUGCCGGUGCGUGCCCGCUGACGGCGCGCCUCCGGGUCGCGGCCGGUGGCGCGUCCAGUCCGAGCUCGGUGGGCUGGCGGGUGGUGCGGGGCAGGAUAGAUAGAUGGGACCCGACCGAGAGACCAGACGACGAAACGAGACAGGACGGGGCCGUGCUGCAGCCUGCAGGUGCGCCCUGUUUUUUUUUCCUUUUUUUGUCCACGGCGAACCGAUCGAACCGCCCGCACGGGACGGAGCCGCACCCGCACGGCGCGCAACAGGGAGGGAGGGAGAGGGAGACAAGCGGAGGAGGAAGCGACUGGAGGCGGUGGGACCACUAACUACCGGCCCGACGGCCCGACCGGCCGGCCGGCCGUUGAAGCAUGGUUGGUCCGGGAUACAACGACCGGCUAACGGUCGGGGGGAGGAGCCUUGAUGAGCCUUUGUCGUCGGUGUUUUGCUUUCUCGGGGGUCCGUUGGUUCUUCUGCCCGCGCGCUUUUAAUGAUGACUUGUCUCGCCAUGUGAGCGAGCCGGCUGGUACGUGGCCUGUCGCUACCGUCGGCAGGGACGUGCCAUGCGUGCAUCACAUACGCCCGUGUUUGGUUCUCCAAGGACAGCUCUCGGGGCCGGGCCGGCUCCCACUGAGUCCCAUUCCCAUCACGAUGCAACAGGUGUACAGCCGCAUGGGCGUAUAUGAGAUGGCAUGUCGUUGAAUCAAACCCGAAAUCUGAUUGCCAAUCCUCCUGCCAGUAGAUCUAGGUGCAACUGCUCACAGCCGAAGUUUCUGGCACGGAAGAAGUGUUCAUAAAGUAGGACAUAUGGCUAUGUUUAUAAGGUUGAGUGUAAACUGUACAUCUAAACUGUUUUCUUUUUGAUGUAUUGAAGUUCAACGAAGCCACUGUUACCAAAAAGAAAAAACAGAGAGACAGAAGGGCUAGCAGCCUUCUCGUAAGUCACUGGUGAGCUUAGCCCAAUCCGACUUCUUCUAGAGUACAAAAUAGAGCUUUGAUUUGGGCCAAGCUGUUCUGAGAUGGAACGAUUACUUUAGGCCCACGCGAUAUAUCUAAAACACACACACUUUGCUCAUACAGUACAGCCUGUUGUGGCCGCCGCAAAUACACGCACGUUCCCAACAAAACGAUUUUUUUUAUUUUUAUAUAUAUUUUUUUCGAUUUUGUAGAAAUAUAUAGUCGAAUGGAAAAAUUGCAAAUCUAAGCUAUUGCCGCCGGCCCAGGGCGGCCGCCGCCUUAGCCGACGAUAAGGCCCUCCCGCCAACCGUCAGCAGCCGUCGUAACUGCGGCGCGCGAGUCGAGGCGUCACCGCCACCCCAGGCGGCGGUAAGACCCUUGGUAAGGCCCUUCCGCCGCCAGGGCCGGCGACAGUCGCCCCCUUUAUGACCCGCCCGCGCCCCUCCCCUCCUCCGCACUAGUGCGCGCCAGUAGCGAGCCAGAGAAGGAAGAGGGAAGAGAAAGAGGAAAGGAGGGAAGGAAAAAAAAAAGAAAGAGAGGAGAGGAGGAGGAGGGAAGAAGAAAAAAAGAACGGAGGAGGAGGGGGAAGAGGGAAGGAAUUUCUUCCGUCUUUCUCAGGUAAAUUUUUUUUUUAAUCUCGUAGUUUAGUAUACUAUAGUAUAGUUUAGUUUAGUUUAGGUUAGAUCUAGAUUUAGAAAUAUUAGUGGAUCUGAGAUUUAGAAAUAUUAGUAGAUCUAGAUUUAGAAGUAAUAGUGGAUCUAGAUCUAAACUUAGAACUUUUAGCUGUUUUUAGAUAGGAAAAUGUAGCUUAGUUAGUAUAACUGAUUUAGCUUAUACAGUAAAAUAGAGUCAGCAUUAUUAGAUUUAUUUGUUAUGGUAAAAGACUAGAAUAAAUGUAGUUAGUAAAUUUUGAUUUUUUGUUAGGUAUUUGAAUAUAAUUUUUUGGUAACAAUAUUAGAUUUGUUUGUUCUGGUAAAUCACUAUGAUAAAUGUAGUUAGUAAAUUAUGAUUUUUUGAUUAGGUAUUACAAUAUAGUUUUUCGGUAACAUUAUUAGAUUUAUUUGUUGUGGUGCAUGGCUAUGAUAAAGUUAGUUAGUAAGCUUAGUUUAGUGUUACAUAGUUGUUUGUUUAUUCAAUUGAGGUCGUUAUUGUAGUUAACUUAUGUAUAGUGGUGAGAAUAAUUUGGACUGCCCGUUUCAUGUAUGUUGCCAAGCAUGUCGGAUAGUGUCAAUAUUCAAGUGUACUAUGGGCUGAGGGAGGUUAGAUAUGGUCCAGAAGGGGUAGAUUUGAGUGGAUUCCCCUGUUUCACCAAGUGUGUUCCAAGAGCAAGAGAAAGAACUUGGGGGGCAUAUGCAAGUGGCUCUGUAGGGACUUAGGUGUUGAUAGAGAUCAAGCGGAUGUGUGUGUGAGGGUUGCAAUGCAAAGAUGGCCGGACAUAAACUUUUGGGAGUUAGUUUCGCUUGAAGGAACUUCGAGAUAUCGGGUUUACAUAGAUGGUUUUACGAGAAGAGGUUUACCAAUCAUAUGGUAUGUCCAAUUUUUCAUGAAGGGUGGACCUAGCACUCAUAUUGAAGAAUAAGUCAGAGGUGAUGAAGUUGAAGCGGAAGAAGAUGUGCAGAGUAGUGCGGGUGGAAACGAAGAAUUUGAUUACAAAGAAUAAGAACGUGAAGAUGCAGAACAUGAUGUAGCAUCUCGGGAACCAAAUGGAGAAGCUGAUGAGGGCGAAGAAAUUCCUGAGUUAGUAGAGCAGAUGGAGAUGGAAGAAGGGGAGGCCAAUGGUGCCGUGGAGGAGGACUCGUCGGAUGAGGAAGAUGAUUAUCUUGUACCGCGAAAUUGGUCAAAUUACGACCAUUCUGCCCUACAGGUCAAUGUUGGGGAAAAUAUUCCUUGGGAGUACAAGGAGAAUGAGGUAUGCGUGGGGGCUGUGUACCAAAGUGGGGAUGAAGUGAAGGUGGCUAUUAAGAGAUGGUCCACUUUGUGUUUGCAGUGUUAGUUCAGGGUGGAAAAGAGUAGCCCGAAAGUGUAUGAUGUCCGGUGUGUGCGAAAUGAUUGCCCAUUCAGGGUGCAUGCAUACAAGGGCAAAUGGAAGGAUUACUAGGAGGUGACUAAAGUGGUUAAGCACCAAUCCUUGCUGGUUGAAUUGGAAGGAACACACCGCAACCUCACUGUUGAAUUUGUUGCUCAAUACAUGUACCCUCAGAUAGUGGAGAAUCCAAGCUUCGAGCCUAAGUCCAUUAUCUGUGCCAUAGAGGAGAAGUUCAAGUACAAGAUCAGUUACAACAAAGCUUACCGUGCUAAGCAGAAGGCGCAUGAGAUGGAGUGGGGUACGUUCGAAGCAUCCUACGACAACCUCCCUGCCUUGUUGCACACCAUUUGCCAGAGAAAUCCUGAAAGCUUCUACGACUUGAAAUCAUAUCCAGUUCUUUAGUUUCCAGAAAAACAGGUCCUACAAUGGUCAUUCCUCACGUUGGGUCCUUGCAUUUAGGCUUUCCGGCUUUGUCGACCAGUCAUUUGCAUUGAUGGCACAUUUCUGACUGGAAGGUACAAAGGGACAAUAUUGACAGCUAUUGGGACUGAUGCCGACAAUCAGGUGUUGCCGCUUGCGAUCGCUUUUGUGGAGGAGUCUGGAGAUAGCUGGUACUGGUUCCUCGAGAGGGUGAAGAACAUGAUUGUGUUGGACGUCGAGGGAGUCUGUCUCAUUCAUGAUCAGCAUAAAGGCAUUAUACAAGCAAUCGACGACCUACAGAAUGGAAGUCAAGAGCGUUUCAGGGCGCUGAUAUGGCCGGACUUGAAGAGUAGGUGGUGCAUGAGGCAUAUGGAUGUGAACUUUCACAGCCAAUUCAAGAAUAAGACCCUUAUGAAAUUGUUCAAGCGCCUGUGCAGCCAGAAUCAGAAGAGGAAGUUCAACCUGCUGUGGAAGAAACUUGAGGACGUCACAAAGAAGCAAUGCGAGGAACUAGCGAAGAGGGCGAUCAAUAGUGAGGCCGACCAACCUGUGUCUCUGGAGGACGUCGGGCUCGACGGGCCAAACGUUAGGCGAAGAUGGGGAAGAUCCAUCAAGUCCUUCUCAUAGUGGAUUGAGAAUGAACCGAAGGAAAAGUGGGCAUUACUCUUUGAUGAAGAAGGUGUACGGUGGGGUAUAAUGACGACAAACCUAGCUGAGGUUUACAACUGGGUCCUGCACGGUCUUCGGGGCCUACCCCUUGUUGGUAUUGUUGAAUUUUACCUUUACCGCACCAUGAAGUAUUUUAGGGAAAGGUACCAAUUGGUUGAUAACUCAAUGCGCGACAACCACAUAAUAUUUGGGUACAAGAUGACAGAGUACAUGGAGGAAGUAAUUAAGAAAGCUCAUUUGCAUCGUGUGAAAGAAGUAGGAGCCGUGGAACGCCGGUUUGAAGUUGUUUUGCAGGGACAAAGUUCGAAUGGACGGGAGGCGCGAGAGACACACACAUGAGUGCAUCAUCAGCAAUAAAGGUUGUGUUUGCUCUUACCACAAACCAAGGUUGCUUCACAGGCCUUGUACCCAUGUCAUUGCUGCAUGCUUUGAGGCGGGGGCCUCCAACCUCGUCGUUUCGUGCCGCACUAUUUCCUCAAAGAAACCAUAUGGCAAACUUGGAGGAAUGAGGUUUAUGGAUAUCGUUUGCUGGGAGACUUUGUCAACAAUCCUGGGAAUGCCGCCCGCUACAUUCCUGAUCCUAAUCCAGAAAUGUGCCAAGGAGUGGGGCGACAUGGGAACAGGCGUAUCCAUAAUGACAUGGAUCAAUCUGAAGCUGGUCCUGAUGUCCGUCUAUGCUCCAAGUGCCACGAAGCCGGUCACACCUACAAGAACUGCCCGGCAACGACGUAUCGAAGUGCUAGCACCCAAGCUGCAUUUAAGAACUAGUAAUGUAAUGUACUGUCUUCCUUGAGUUGUGUUAUUGUAACUUGAGCUGUCGUCCUUAGGUAGUGUAAUAUAAUGUUUAUUUGGUGGUGUGGAAAAGGACAUCAAGUAUUGUAAUAUUUAUCGUGGACCCUUCUAUUUGUAAUGACUCGUAUGUGCCGUAGAGUUAUGAUGUUUAUUUGCAAUGUAACGUAAUGCCAUGUUAUAUUUUCUUUACGUGUUCAGUGCUUAUUUCUUUCAAUACUUGUGUUGCAGGUAUGGCGUCGCACCUAGGUCCACAGGGGGACCAGACCCCUGAGUUGCUCGACCCUACCUUGGAUGAUCAGCACAGGUCGUUCCACUCGGCCGUAGUAGGUACCAACCUAGACAUGUUUCGGGCUCGUAUCCCGCUUGCGACCAUGCCGAUCAACCGACGUUGGAUCCUAAGAUAGAAAUAAUUAGUAAUACUUGUGUGUUAAGUUCAACGAUUAAUUUGUGUAAACUAAUUAAUUUUUUCCAUGGUACAGGUUGAGUGCGGCAGGCCUUCUCCCUGUGGCUAGGCUUGUGGAGGGCGACAUGGUCGACCGUUCAGCGCGACGUGGCCGCGAGAGACCCACACGGUUCCAGUUCGACAUGUCACUGAUAGCAGCUUUGCUGGACCAGUGGCGGCCGGAGACGCACACCUUCCACCUCCCGGUCGAUGAGUUGACCCCCACACUAGAGGACGUCUCGAUGCUACUGGGCCUUCCUUGUGCAGGGGCUGUCGUAGCCGCGAUGGACGUCCCCCCUGCCUGGUGCGAGGAGCUACUGGGUCGCUUUGCGGACGUUCCCCGCGUAAACGAUGCCCCGCAGUACAGCACUUUCAGCAGCUCCCACAGCCCGACGAAGGCUUGGCUCCAACAGUUCAGUGUGAGUAGUUAAUUAGCAGCAAGUACAAAUAAUUUUUGGCCAUUUUUGUUAUUGCUAACAGAAGUCCAAAAUUGUUUUGCAGGCUGAGUACAUGAGAAAGGACGCAGAUGACGCCACAGUAGCGCAUCACUUGGAGGCGUACCUGUUGUGGCUCUUCGGCUGGACCCUCUUCUGCACGUAGUAGGGGAACUCGGUGCCUAAGCACCUUCUUCCUUUCGCGAGGCCCAUUGCGGAGGCCCCACUCAACGAGGUUCCACAGUAUAGCUGGGGUUCAGCUGUGCUGGCGGCCACGUACAGGGGUCUUUGCAUGGGCUGCGUGAAGGUGACGCAGACGGAGCCUAUCUUCCUUGGCUGCCCGCUGCUGCUUCAGCUUUGGGCCUACGAGCGGUUCCCGAUAGGACAACCUUGUGUGGACAUAUCCCUCUACCCUACGGGUUUCGACGAGGACGUCAUCGACAGACCCACGAUGGGGUCGUUGUGGUGCCUGAGGAGGGUACGGUUCUUGUACUACUUUUUUUCGAUUCAUAUUACACUUUGGAAUUUUCAAGGUCCUAACUGAGAAAUUGUGAUUACAUUUCUUGCAGGUGGUUUGGACGGGAGUGCAGACAAAGAAGUCGUACCCGAACUUCGUCGGUAUGUUCGACGCUCUGGUCGACACCGACAUGAGGUGGAGACCCUACAACUUCGAGGACGUGGAGGCUCGUGCCCCGCAUGGCCUGUCUUUGCAAUGCCAUCGGGACAUGGCGUACUGGAUGACGAGGAGGCUAGUAGUCUACGACAUCGACGUCGAGGACUACGCGGUUCACCGUGUGAUGAGGCAAUUCGGCGUGUAUCAGGACUCCCCACUUUCGACUACGUCAGCCGUUCUGGCUUUCGUUCACAGGUACAAUCCAGCAUUUUCCUUCUCCUUGCAUUAAGAAUUUUUCAUUUAUGUAACUCGUGUAAGGAUGGUUCCAUUAGGGCUAGCCAUCAGGGUAGUGGUGGUGGUGGGCCUGGAGUCCUAUGGGCUCCGAGGAUGGUUCACUGGGUCGCCCUGUGGGCGACCGCACUAGACGAAGUGUUCCAGGAGGCCUGGCCACACGACGCUGAUGCUUUUGCAGCGUACCUUCGCUGGUUCUUACCAAGGACCAGGACGUGGGUCCAGCAUGUUCCGGCCGAGCCACCGACGGAGACCGCUCCAGUCAUGCAGGCGUACCCUCGUGCGAGAGACGUCAACUACGACCGCGCGGUAAGCUACUGUAAUUUUUGUUGUUACUAAACUUGCAUCAUUUGGUGUGACUAACUUCAAAUUUUUUCGCUCCCCAACAGAUCAACAUUAUUGGGGAUUUGGACAGGAAGCUGACGUACGGCAUCGAUAACUUCCACGUGAUGAAUUCCGUUAAGCAAACGUUCGCUACUUACAAGGGCCAAAGACGGCUGCAGGAGGUUCCUCGGUGCCGUUAGCUACCGUGGCGGGCACGGGGACGUCAUCCGUCCAUCACGACCUCUGUACCCCCCGUGUGCCCACUCCAGCUCCUACUCAGCAGGCUGGUAUGUCCACUCACCAGCCCGUUCGUCCGCCAGCAGCCAACACGUCCUACAUCAUACCACCACCACCACCACCGUCUUGGCACGCCACAGUAGGUCCGUCCACCGUUCCGCAGAUGCAAUCCGCAUGGUCCUCUUGUCCUUCUUCAGGUGCACCAGAGAUACGACCAGUAGGUGCGUGAUGCAUACAUUUUUUAUACUCCAUUUUAAGAACGCAAUGAAACUAACAAAACCGUUUCCUUUGUGAUUAUAACAAGCUACGCAGACCAGGGAUGGCUUUCGGAGGACUCCCACGACGAGGCAACGAGGUCCAGCGCCCAUGCUUGGUUCAAUGACCUUUUCAGAGUGGACCCCGACCUGCUCGGUCUCUCCCAACUGGUAGACGCCCUGGGUCCUACAUAGGGUGUGACCCAGUACCUCGGGACACCACAGGGUCCUACACAGGGCGCAACCCAGUACCUCGCAACACCUCCUGCGGAGGGAGUGGGAGGACGGCCGACUCGCGACGUUCACCCGCCGGAGCCGUGGACGUACGACCGGCAACAGACCAGAGCAGCGCAGCAGGCAGCGAGGCAUAGUCGUGGCGCCGGGGAGCCUCGUUUCAAGCGAGGACGCAUUUAGUGCGUAGGGCGAUUUCUUAUUUUUUAUCUUUUGUAGGAUUAUGAUGUGUACGAUUAUCUUUAUAUGAGAGGACUGCUCUAUCUAGAUAAGUUAAAUGCUUUUCAUUGUUCGUGUGCGUUCACUAUACAAGUCUAAACAUUUCCCAAUUAAGAAUUAAAAGCACACAAUUAAAAUAAUCAAUCACUACGAAUGAAAAUCGUGCGGCGAAUAACGGAGUACAUGACCUAAGCACAACACAAUGAAAGGUCCAACAACACACAAUAUUAUCCAUGAAUAAACCAUGGACACACAACGAAAGGUCCAACCGCACACAACGGAGUACUAGCCAAUAACAGAGCCUACUGAGUACAACGAGGCCACUUUCCCUUCCUCAGGGCAUCGGGGUUCUCCUCCAUCGCUGCUUUCGCUCGGCGUGCACGCUCAAGCUUCCUCUCCCUCUCCUCCCUCUCCGCAGCAAGACGCCUCAUUUCCUCCUCUUUCUUGUGCUCCUUCUCUGCAGCCUCCUCUCUAAGCCUCUUCUCCAUCCUCUCCUUGUUCUCUGCCACCCAACGCAACAUGUACUGCAUCUCCUCCUUGUCCUCAGGUUGAUCUCAGUGUCAAUCCACUGCUCAAAAUCACAGAGCGGUGGAGGGGUUUGCAACAAAUGUAAUUAUUACAAAACAAAAAAAUCAUGCAAAAUGUCAUAUGACACAAAAUAAUUAUUGCACAACAUCAAUUCCUUACCAUCUUGUUAAUGUGGCGCUGACGAAGUGUAGGCUCAAACGCAAAAUAGGAACACAUCCAAUACCUCUGCCUAUACGUGUCCUCUUCAUCGGUCUUGGCUACCUUGCAAGGAUCGCCGCAGAAGCACAUGGGCACUCGAACACCACUAGUCAAAGGUAAAGGAUCGAAGGCAUUUCCGGUCAACCGAACACCACCCCACCUUUACCAUUUUCGUUGUAAGAACCGGAAGCAACUAAGAUUAAAUCAUACGACUACCAGUUAACAUAAUAACGUGCACUGAGAUUACCUUGCUUUUCCAGCUUUUCCACGCCUUGGCAUCCUACGCUUGUAUAAUAAAAAUAUUAAAAUUUCAUGAAACUAUAAUAGUAAAUACUUCUAGAUCUAAAUACUAAACUAUGAACUGAAAACCGAAUCUACUAUACUAACUAAACUACAUUUUUAACAUCUAAAAGCACACAACCUAUCUGUAGAUCUAAAUACUAAACUACGAACUAAAUACCGAAUCUACUGUACAAACUAAGCUAGAUUUUUAGCAUCUAAAAGCACAAGAUAUUUUUAGAUUUACUAUACUACAAUAAUGAAAAACUUACCUGAUGACUAGGAGGUUUCUUCCCCUUCUUUCCUCUCUUUCUUUCUUCCUUCCCUUCCUUCUCUCCCUUCUCUCCCUCUUUGGUUCUCCUCUCAAUAACAACAGGUCUGGAUCAAGAGAGUUGGGUGGCCUAAGGCCUAGCUGCGGGCGGGUUAUGUAGGGGGAACCCCCGCCAGCCCAGGUGACGGCAAGGGUCCUUACCGCUGGCCCAGGCGGCAGUAAGGACCAUUACCGCCCGUGCGCUGGUUGUACCGUGAUGGUGCAGGGGGCCGGGUCCUUACCGCCGGCCCAGGUGGCGGUAGGGAGUUAUCACCGGCCCAGCCGGCGGUAAUGACAUGGGCCGACGGGGUCGGCGCCUUACCGCCGGCUGAGGCGGCGGUAAGGCCCUUCUGCCGCCUAGCCCGGCGGCAAUAGCCUAGAUUUGCAAUUUUUCCAUCCGACUAUAUAUUUUUGCAAAAUCGAAAAAAAAUAUAAAAAUAAAAAAAUUCCAACAAAACACACACGCGCGCGCAUUCGGAGAUGCUGAUGAUUGAUGAUUGUUCAGGCCUAGUAGUAGAGCUCGUGUAACGGUGUAAGAAUCAACCAACAAGGUCAUAGAGAUGGGCCUGUAUUAUCAACGUAUCUUUUGUUGGUUUCCAUCAAAAGAAGUUUGAAAAGGGUUGCUAAAACUAGUCAUGCAAACACUAUUCAAUGGCCGAGCCCCUAUCCAUAUGCAUUGCAACAUGACAAGGUUUUAAAGCGUUAUUAUUUCAAACGUGAGCAUCACGACACCCAUGCCUGGGGAUACAAGUUCAAAUCCACAGACCAAAAGAGUUCUCACAUCUACUGCAUGCUACCUGACCUCCCACGAAUAGGGAUAGAGUUUUAAACGAUAGACAAUCAAACGAUAGACAACCACAUGUUGCUGCUUAAGUUUUCGAUUAAUCACCGUGUGCAGAUCAAAACGCACGCUCCAAAUCACCCAGGCAAAGGGCCAGCAUCACCAGCUUGUGGCAAGAGUUAUCCAGGCACCCAUUGGAUUGACAGGUGAUCCAUCAGAAAGGACCAAUCGUCCAUGAGAGCUUCCCUGGCCUUGAACCAAUGUCUUUAAUUCGUGACACCCAAAGCUCGAAUUGCUCCACGUAUUUUAUUGGGCACAGAAUUGCCCAACCCUGCAUGCCACUUGCAGCAUGUUUGGUGAAGAGCACGUUUGAAGAAAGUACACACGAAUGGGAAACAAAACUCUCUUAGGGCUUAUAUUUCUCAAAAAAUGUGAACCCUUGUACAGUAGGGGUGCCUCCCCUUUUAUAGGAAGGCCAACCGACUUUUACCUACCGAAUUUACCCAUACUGAACCACUACAUCCUAGGAAUAUGCUGUACAUUUUAGUAAAGAAAGAGUUCUAAUCCAACUUGUACACCCCAAACGGAUCACGCUAUUCACGCUAUCAAGGUCAUAUUCGCAACGGGAUCCCAAUCCUCCGCACCUUCUCUUGAGCAACUUGGAUUGGCCGCCGGAUUCUUCCUCGAGGGAGUUCACGGGUCCUUCGCGCUUCCCAACUUGGUCUUCCAUAGCGAAGGUGCCCCGAACCUCCGCACCUGCCUGCGAAAAUGCCCUGAACCUUCGCGCCUUCUUCCUUGAUCUUACGAAGCGAAGGUGCCCCGGAUCUUCGCAUCUUACUUUGCUCCGUCCAAACAUCGUUUCCUGCAAUCAUGCUUAAGUAAAACGCUGCUUACCUUCGCUAGGGGUUCAGCGAGGGUGGCAUGCGAGGGUGACAUUUGAUAUCCUUGAUCCAGAUCCUCAACAGUAGCCCGUCGUGGGCGAGGUCCUACUCCAGCGGGCCGAACCCUCGAAAAAUCAUUUGAUCUUGAUCAAGGAUAAAAAACGUCUCCUUCACGUGCUGGAGCGGAGAUCACCACAAAGGUUGUUGAAUUGACACUUUUGCCCCUACUUUUUUACCGUUGAGCACGGUUAUCAAAACGGCUCCUUUUCAUGCCUAUAAAUAGAGAGGGGGUUGCGGUGACUUUUUCGCAUUCUCAUUUGUUUGGAGACCUUCACUGCUUACAUUUGCAGUGCUUUGAGAUUCAUGCUUUCCGUGCCACUGCUUGUUCAGCUGUUGCGAAGGUGCAUGUGCUACUUCUUUUUCUUUCUCCCGUAAGUUUCGCUGAGUCUCUUUUCAUUAACAUUUUUCCACUCUUUUCUUCAUUCUAGAAUUCAUCGUGGCUCGCACGAAACAAAAUGCUAGACUCAUGAGCUCCCAGGAGUUAGCCGCUGCUGGGCUGGGAGAUGCUGUGCAUGAUGCGAAUGUGUCUGAUGACGAUUUGGGUGGUUCUCGAUGAAUUCACAAGGGUGAUGAUGCGUCUGGCACAAAAUAUUUUGAGAGCAAAUCUAGAAAUAUUGGUGAUGAAGAAGAAGACGAGGAGGGGGAAGAGGAGGAUCUUGAGAAUGUUGAAGCUAAUGUGAUGAGCUUAUCCCCGAAUGUCCCAAGAUUUGCUUCUUUGGUCACUCGUUGGUGACCCAACGAGGCAUUGACUUUUAUGUGGAGAAAUGUUAUUUUGCCGAUGGUGAUUGCAGACCUUCGGACGAAGAAGAAAUUAUUGUUCCGAAACCCAAUGGGACCAUAGUAUUUCGUGACUUCUUUGUUGCUGGACUGAGAUUUCCUUUUGAAAAUGUCGUUGUUGAUAUUCUCAAUGCCUUCAAGGUUCAGCGGCACCAACUAACACCUAAUUUCAUUCCUCACCUUCUGAAGUAUAUUUGGAGUUGCCGCUUGUUUGGUGGUGAGUCGAGGCAGACUCUUUUUGCUGCCAUUUUGAAUUGCAUCAUCAAAAGAAGCACAUUUUGGUUGGCGAGGAGGAGAUGGAAACUCAAUAUGGGUGUUGUACUUUUCGAACAUGUCAAAUCAGCGCUGGUUUAAUUCAUGUUGCCUUAAUCCUUGCUCAGAAAAACAUGUGGGCUGAUAAGUGGGACUCAUAUUGGUUCUAUGUGACGAUUCCCGUUGUUACUGGACAAGAUAGCGAGGGCAAACCCAUUGUCGAGUACCCACUUGCAAGCAAGAUUGAGGACAUAGAUGCAGAUUAUUGUCCUCCUUUUUCAAAGAAAAGCUGAAAUUCUUCAGUUAGCAAUACUUACUAUAUUGGCAGCCAGAUCAUUACUGCACGAGAUGCAGUUGAAGAAUUCUUGGCUGCUGAAAUUUGGCCUUCGCGACACAGAUGGUGUCCCAAGAGUUUUUAUGAGAAAAAUAUUCCUGGUAUGAUAGUUGCUGUUAAGUUUCCUAAAUUUGGAGUGAAAAAACCUAAGGGGAUGACUGAUCAACAAAUUGUUGAUGAGAUUGAACGGAGAGUUGUUGCUUUGAUUGGUAAUUAUUUGCAUAAAGAACAUGAACAAGCUCAAAAAACUUUGAGGAACAAAGGUAGGAUCAAUCGCGUCUUUGAUGAAAUGGGCAUUACGUGCGGUCCUAGUGCUCGUCCUAGCAUCGCCAGCAAGAAGAUGGUUGCGGUCGGAAAUAUUGGCUCUGAAAUUCCUGAGGUUAAAGCAAAAAUCACAAGGAAGAAAAAAUCAUCCAAGAAUCUAUCUGAUGCUUCUAAGCAACCAAGCUCAAAAACCGGCGGCUCCUCCACUGUUUCGAGAUCUGCGAAGGUAAUGGCGGUGCUGACAAAAAGGAAGCGUGAAGUCGAUGCUGUUGGCAAAUAAUGCAAGGUUGUGCCCAAACUAUCAGUUGUUGCUGAGGAGUCUCCCUCAUCUAAACUUGUUGGAUCGUCUAGUGCUAAAGUUGGUGAACAAGAAACUUUACAGACGGAAUUUGAAUGCCAACAAUGCCAGGACAAAAGAAUACUACCAACACAUGGAGGAGAACAAUUUUUCUCUUGACAUUGAGAUGCUCGGAGCUUCUACCAAUGUCCAUGCUAGUAUGGUAGAUGUUUUGGAUGACAAUGACAGUUUGAUCUACUUGGACGAAGAUGUUGCCGACGUGGACUAAGGCAUUGUUGUUUCUAAACUUUCUUUGAUGCCCGAGUCAGGUAUGGCUAAGCCUGUUGUUGAUUCUUUGGAGAACUUUCCAUUUCCAUUAUCUUCGAUCAUUGGAGGCCGUACAAGUGAAAAUGAUGGAUUGUCUCCCCUGCGAGAAAAAAAUUGAGAAGUAGCUGUUGUAUCAAAGGAGUUUCCCUCUGUGACCUUUGAAGAAGACUUUCUUUCCCCAAAGUUCAUGAAAUUCCUCCGUCCGCUAAAGGAAGAGAUGUCUUGUCUCCCUAUAAAGGUGAUUUUGGUUCUUGAAGUAUUUCUUGCUUUUGGUACUGAUUUACUUUAUUUCAUAUUUUUAUAGUUUUGUUGUCUUGUAAUGUUUGCAGAUGGUGACGCAACUGCUCAGACUCUACUUUUAGUGAGUCACCUUAGCUCUGACGAGCUGAAAUUGAUUAGGAUGUCAGAGCGUUUGAGGGAAGCUUGGAAGAUCAGCCUACUUUCAAGGGAGUUCCCGAGGUGGAUCCUGGUGAGACUAACAAUGACAUUCCACCUUACUAGUAUUUCGAUCCUAAAGGUUAAAAUUUUUUAAUGCAGAGCAUUAUUAACUCGGGUCCUUGUUGAUUUUAUACAGACAUGAGUUUGUGCUGUUGCUUGUAGAAUUUGAAGCCAGCAUUCAAGGCUUCAGUGGUCUUGAACUCUGCACUUUGAUGACCACCUAUGCAAUGAAAGGUGUUAUUGCUGGAAAACUUGGUUGCCAGAAGGUCUUUGAUAAGAUGGAAGACUUUCGCAUUGAAAAAGAUGACCUUAAAGCGGAGAACCAGAAAUUGAAGGAUCAGAUUUCUCAGAUGGAAAGUAACAAUAAAGAUCUUUCUGCUGAGGUUAAGAGCUUAGCGAAUUGAAACCAACAGCAAGAAGAAGCUUUGAUAAAUCUUCGCGCGGCUAUUGAGAAAGAUGUCGAAUGCUAUCAACAAGUUUGCAAGGAACUUGAGACAACCAAGACGACCGCAACUGCGCGUUGGCGAAAGACUUGGUUGCUAAGCAGAAGAUUAUCUCUGAGUUAAGGCAAGUUAACCUUUCUCAAGAGAAAAUUCUUGAAGAACGUGAAUCUAAUAUUUGGCAGCGAGGUCUACAUCUUAAUCGCCAAUAUCAAGAUGGGCUAAAUCAAUUUGCCGCUGAGCCCCAACCAUUCCCUAGUACUGGAGACACUAACAAAUUCUUUCAAUGGCUCGAGGAUGAAUUGAAGUUCUUGCCUGGUAUCUUGUCCAAGGUUGGUGAUUACGGUGCGGCUACGAGCGUUGAAACAUUGCUCCAUUUGAUGGAAUGCGAGGGCUGUGAUCAUUUCAAGAAACUUGGCUCUCGUAGUUACGAAUUUCUAACUCAUUCGGAUAUUCCAUCCCCUAGCCAAAAUGUUGGUGUUGUAUCAAAGAUAUUUUUUAAGGAGUACUGGAUGAAGAGCGGCCGCGAGGGUGCUCGCAAAAAGGCUGUUGACCGUCUUGCGCAAGUAUUUUCUAUCCUUAUUCUAGCUUUUGUAAACUUGAAAAUGAUUGAAAUACCUUUUAAUGCUAUGCAAUUACUUCCUCACAGUUCUAUCUUGGUCAGGCAAAGUAGACAAUGGAGACUUGCAAGCUUCAAACUCUUCACGGGGAAUCAGCUACGCAAGGCCCGCACGCUGCUCCGCACCAAUGGCUAGUUCCAGAGCCCUGCCAUCAACCAGUUGUUGCGGAGGUGGCUCCAUCGUCUUUUGCUGCUUCUGAUUUUGCAGAACCGUUAGCGUCGCAUGCUGCCAGUGCAUCUCAUGAUUCUCUGGCCCAAGGAACACUGCCACAUGAAAUUCAGCCUCAAGAGCCGCCCUCAAUUGGGGAGGAACUGAAGGUGUAAAGUUUGGAACUGAUUGAAAAAUUGAUUGUUAGAUGAAAACAAAAAUGUAACUUAUUUUGUUGUAAAUAUCCACUGUGGCGCAGGUUCCAUGUGAUGGAACUGUGUGUGAUGUAACUCCUGAAACAUUCUGCCAAGAACGCUUGUACGUUAGCGGCCAUUCUUGGACGGUUUAUCAUGCUAAGUAUCCGGCCAAGUCCUUUGAAGAUUUCUAGCAUUUUGUUGUUCCUAUUAUCCAUCACGUAGUUAUGCACUUCGUAAUUUACUCAAUUGUAUUGGAGGCACUCGGAUUAGUCAAUCCCAAGCUGCGAUCUAGAAUCUUGCACUGUGGAAGUCAAGAUCGAAAACGAAUGCUCUAAGGAUAACGAAUACUAUUUUGUGUAUAACGCUUGUGAUCCUUACACAUCCCCUGUCCGCAUAGGUUGUGUAAUUGAACUUCCUUUUGAAUUGUAAGCUUUCGAUUUUCUUCCAAUCUCAAUCACUUUUGGAAUAAGUUUUUGGUAAAAAAAUGUCUCCCCCCUCCCCCUUCCAAGAAGUGAUUGAGAUGCAGUGGAAAAUCCUCCUUUGUAAGUGUUAAUGUUUGAACAAUAGCCUGAGAUGGAUUUUAGCUGAAAGCCCUCGCAGAUCUAUUUUUUGGGUGUCGAAUUUGGCAACCUUUAAGUUAAUUUCGACAUUAAUUUUCUCUAUUUAUUUGCUUUCAACCUUUUAAGAUGUCUUUCUUUAACACUUUCGCUGGGUGUUUUAGAAAAGUAAUUUCAUUGCGCUUCGGUGCUUCUUUGCCACCUUACGCGAAAAUUCUUUCCCUAAACAGGAAAACAAAACCAUCAUUUCUUGGCUUUUUCUUUAACACCUUAUGCGAAGGUGCAUUCUUAUCUUUUCCUCUUUUUAGAAUAUUGAUAAGUUUACAAUGCGUCUCAGACGCAUUCUUUUUCGCCUUGUGCGAAGGUGUUUUCUUAUCUUUUUCUCUUAUUGAAAGAUGAUAAGACUUGUGUCACAGACGCAUUCUUUUAACACCUUGUGCAAAUGUGUUUUCUUAUCUCUUUCUCUUAAAGAAAGAUGAUAAGACUUGCGUCACAGGCACAUUCUUUUAACACCUUGUGCGAAGGUGUUUUCUUAUCUCUUUCUCUUAUAGAAACAUGAUAAGACUUGUGUCACAGUUGUAUUCUUUUAAAACCUUAUGCGAAGGUGUUUUCUUAUCUCUUUCUCUUAUAGAAAGAUGAUAUGCGAAGGUGUUUUCUUAUCUCUUUCUCUUAUAGAAACAUGAUAAGACUUGCGUCACAGGUGUAUUCUUUUAACACCUUGUGCGAAGGUGUUUUCUUAUCCCUUUCUAUUAUAGAAAGAUGAUAAGACUUGCAUCACAGGCGCAUUCUUCUAACACCUUGUGCAAAGGUGUUUCCUUAUCUCUUUCUCUUAUAGAAAGAUGAUAAGAUUUGCAUCACAGGCGCAUUUUUGACACCUUAUGCAAAGGUGUUCUCAAGCAUAGAAGUAAAUUUAUCGCGUCACAGGCGCGUUCUUGAACACAAUUUCAAGGGGAAUUUCUUUACUUCAUAAUGUAGAUGAUUACAUCGGAAUCGCCUCAUUAAAAACCUCACCUCCAAUGUGGACCCCCUAGUGAGGAAAAGAGUACGACCCAUUUUUUUUAAAUGUAAAUUUGCAAGAAUGUAAAAAGGAAUCCGAUUGCGUUUAUAACUCAAUGCUACCGGCCCUGCACUUACACUUUGAGGUGAAGUAAAUUGCAAGAAAGUAAAUCUAUGCUACUUUUAGGAUUCGAUUGUGCUUAUAACUCCACGCAACUGAUCCUGAACUUUUCUUAUGCUCAAGGAUAAAACCUGCGGAGGUUGUCCACAUUCCACGAAUGCGGCAGCUCCUCCCCCUCUUCAUCGACAAACGAUAAGCCCGUGGCUUGACGCUGCUCAUGACCAGAUAUGCUCCUUCCCAAGCUACUUGCAGUUUGCCUAUUGUUUCUGCAUUCUUUUUUCUCUUAAGGAUGAAAUCUACCACUUUGAUGUCUUUUUUGACAACCUUUUUGUCUCUCCACUUUCUCGUUUGUUCUUGAUAUUUUGUUAAGUUCUCAGCUGCCUCAAGCCUACCAAUCUCAACAAUAUCCUUGUUCAUUGCUUCAUUUUCCUCGUUUUGUUCAGCUAUUACCCUCACACUCUGGUGUGCUAUUUCUUCAAGACACAUUGCCUCAGCCCCAUACAACAAUCUAAAGGGGGUGAAUUUAGUGGUUUUGAAUUUAGUUGUAUUGUGCGACCAAACUACCCUUGGCAAUUCUUCUGCCCAUUUUCCCUUUUUCUGAUCGAACAGGCAUUUUUUUAUGGCAGUGAAGAUUUCACCGUUUGCUCUUUCUACGGCCCCAUUAGACUGCGCAUGGUAUACUGAUGUGAAAUUCAAUUUUGUUCCAAUCAUUACACAAUAUUGUCUGAACUCAUAGCAAUCAAACUGCUUGCCAUUAUCGACAGUAAAUUCCCUUGGGACUCCGAACUUGCAUAUGAUUUACUGCCAAAAGAAUUUUCUCAUGGUUCCGGAUGUGAUUGUUGUUAAAGGCAUUGCCUCAAUCCAUUUGGUAAAAUAUUCAACAGCCACAGCUGCAUAUUUGUUAUUUCCUUGAGCUGUUCGCAAUGAACCCACUAUAUCCAUUCCCCAUCUCUAUAGCGGCCAGGUGGGAGCAAUUAACUGCGAAGGUAAUCCCGGUACUCGUUGAUGUUUGGCUGCGAAUUGGCAUGCCUUGCAUGUUCUGACAAUCUGCUCAGCGUCUAUGAUUACCAUUGGAAAAUAGAAUCUCUGCCUAAAAAGCUUUCCAACUAAUGCUUUGACCCCGAUAUGAGAUCCGCAAUACCCACAGUGGACUUCUCUCGGCAGCUCAAUUCCUUCUUCCUGUGAGAUGCAUUUUAGCAGUGGUGCACUCACUCCUAACUUGUACAAGUUUUCUCCUUUCAUAAUGUAACCUCUUACCCUUUGCUUCAUGCACUUGAGCUCGUGUUCCUCUACUGGCUCAUAGUUGUUGCGGAGGUAGGCUAUGAUUGAGGAUCGCCAGUCCUCACUGUUGAUUGCAUUUACUAGACUCAUGGGCUGCUUGUCUCGCUUAACUAAGGGAGUGGUAAUGACUUCAAAGAAUACAUCGGGCGGUAACUGCUCGUUUCUGGAGGCUUUCUUUGCUAAAUCAUCAGCCUCGCCAUUUCCUUUUCUUGGUAAAUGCUCAACUGUGAAACCCCUAAAAUGCCUUUCCAUUCUCCUAACCUCCGCUAAGUAUUUUAUUAGUUCUAGCUCUCUGGCCUCACAUUCUUUUUUUGAUUUGCUCUUUGAUUACUUUUGCGUCCGACUUCACCAAGAAAUUCCUUGCCCCCAACGCUUUGACUUUGCGUAGCCCAAGCAAUAGUGCCUCAUACUCUCUAGUGUUGUUUGUGCACUUAUCUGCUGGAUCUGAGUAUUGUAGUAUUGCAGUGUAUCUAAUUUUCGCUCCUGAUGGUGACGUUAUGAUUGCAGUGAUUCCAGCCCCUUUGCGACCCUAGGCACCAUCGCAGGUGAUCUCCCAGACUGGAAUGACCUCUUCACCUUCGCAACAAUGAUUUGGAGCGGUCCAAUCAGCCAUGAAGUCUGCCAGCACUUGUGAUUUUAUGGCCCCUCUUUUCUCAAAAUCUAUGACAUGCUUGGACAAUUCAGUUGCCCACUUUGCAAUUCUACUAGAAGCUUUUCUAUUUGCAAAUAAAUCAUUGAGCGGCUGAUCUGAUAGUACAGUUACCUUAUGGGCCUCAAAAUAAUGCCUCAAUUUUCUUGAUGCCAUAAUUACUGCGUAGGCAAUCUAUUCCAGCUCUGAAUACAUUAACUUGGAGCCUGAUAAUGCCUUCGACACAUAAUACACAGGCAGUUGCUUCUUGAUACCCUCACUCUCAACUUCCCGUACUAAUGCGGCACUUUCUGCUGAUUGAGAGGCAACAAUAUACAUCAAGAGAGGUUUCCCAGGCUGCAGAGGUGACAAUAUAGCCAUUUUCUCCAAAUAGUCUUUUAGUUCUACAAAUGCUUUGCUCUGCUCAGGACCUCAUUCUAACUUUCCAUCCCCCCUUAGCACCUUGAAGAAAGGCAAGCUUCUUUCAGUUGAUUUUGAAAUAAAUCUGUUCAACGUUGCGAUUCUUCCAAUGAGAUUUUGGACAUCCUUUCGGGACUUAGGCUCUUCCAUGAUUCUGAUUGCCUUUAUUUUGUCCGAGUUUGCUUCUACUCCCUUGGUGGACACAAGGCAGCCCAACACUUUUCCUUUCUAAAUUCCGAAAACACAUUUUUUCGGAUUCAACUUCAAGUUUACUUCGCGGAGCCUAGUGAAGGUCUCUACGAGAUCUUGGAUAUGAUCCUCUCUUUGAACACUUUUCACAAUGAUGUCAUUGACGUAUGCUAGUAUGUUUCUAUCAAUCUGAGGUUUGAACACUUCACGGUCAUACAAGUGAAAGUUAGCCCAACAUUUUUGAGCCCCUCUGGCAUUCGAACGAAACAAUAUGUUCCAAACGGGGUGAUGAAGCUAGUUUUCUCUUCGUCUUCCUUUCUCAUCCACACCUGUUGAUACCCUGAGAAACAAUCGAGGAGGGACAUGAUUGCUACCCUUGCUGCUCCGUCAAUCACUUUGUCAACUCUAGGUAAAGGAUAAUUAUCUUUGGGGUAGGCCUUAUUUAGAUAAGUGAAAUCUAUGCACAUUCUCCUCUUUCCAUUAUUUUUCUUGAUAGGAACAGUGUUGGAUAGCCAUUGAGGAUACUCAACCUCUCUAAUGACCUUCGCAUCGAGCAAUCUCUGGACUUCAGAUUUAACUGCUGCUACCUUGUCAUCUGACAUCUUUCUCAACUUCUACCUCUUUGGUCUUAUUGCCUUUUCGAUGCUUAGCUUGUAUUCAAUAAUAUAUCUGUUGACCCUAGCUAGGUCAUUUCCUGACCAUGCAAAUACAUCUUUAUUCUUGCGAAGAAAUUCGACCAAUUUCUUUUCCUCCUCAGGAUCAAGAUCGGUCCCAAUGAUUACUUCCUUGCCAAAAACCAUGUCAUCCAAUAACACCCUUUUGGUGUUACAAUUUUUCUCGAUGUUUACUUUCUCUUUGUCUUGUUUGGGCUCCUUGAUAACCUUAUUUACUUGAUUCUCUACCUCAAGUGCAUUUACAUUUCUUUGACCCGGAGUUCUCCCCCUUUCUAAGUUUCUUCCAUCACCUUGAUCUCCAAAGAUGGUGAUAACACCAUUCAAUGCAGGCAUCUUCAUACACAAAUAGGCCUCAUGAAUUGCAGCUUCAAAUUUGUUCCAAAAACCUCUACCAAAAAUUCCGAAAUAUGGAUAAUACAUUUCCAACACAUCAAAUCAUAUAUACUCUAUUCUUGCAUUUUGGACUGUCCCGAAUGAAACCAGUAAAGAAAUCUUUCCUAAUUCAUGGAUUACUUUUUCUCCAAAACCAUACAGUGGCGUGUGUGGGAGUUGCAACAGAUACCUGUUUAGCUCCAUCUUGUCGAAGGUGCUAGCGAACAUGAUGUCCGCGGAAGAGCCAUUGUCUACCAAGAUUUUUCCAAUUGCCCAAUUUGCAAUGUUUGCAUUGAUUACCAUGGUGUCGUUGUGAGGAUAGCUUUUCAACUGCAUGUCAUCCUCCUUGAAGGUGAUUGGGACAUGAGACCAUUUGGUUUUCUUCACUUUGCCUUCCACAAAUAUGUUGCCCACCACUCUAAAGUAAUUGCUUCUUUGUUUCUUACUUUCGAAUGCCAAGGCUGAUCCUCCGGAUAUUGGCAUAAUCAUCCCGAUUGUUGGCAAUGCAUCUGACUGCUUUGACUACCCUUCCACCUUCGUUGGCUACGGAGGUGCUGACGCUCCAGAAUAUGGUGGUGGUUGUGGGAUUAUGGGGUGUUCAUGUGGAGCUCUUCUUUCUACAUUCUGAGCUUUAAAAGUCUAAGAUUGCCAAAUUGGUUCGUGUUUGAAAGUGGGAGUUGGCUGAUAAUUGAAAGCUUGUGUAGGUUGGAACGAUGACACCAAAGUCAUCUACUUCCCCAUCUACAUGGAGGCAGUGCCACUCACAUGACUCGAAUCAUUGGAUAAAAACUCCAUCGACUCAUGGAAGGACCUCAAGGUAGCAUUCACCAACAACUAUGCAGGGGCAAUGCAGCGUCCUGGCAAUAGGAUCGAUUUGUCUCAAGUUAAACAACAAGAAGGCGAGACCCUGCGGAGCUACUUACAUCGCUUCUUUGAUAAGAAGACCACAAUCGUGGACAUCACGGAGCGCGACAUCAUAUACUGCUUCCAGAACGGCGUCCAUGACCACCGGAUGUUCCAGGACUUCGACAGAAGAUGCCUCACUGAUGUCAAAUCUCUCAAGAUCAUGGUACAGGCAUGGACAGAUAAAGAAGACAGGGAGAUCGAAAGUUUCAAAUCCAAUCGCAACAAAGGCUAGAAUAGCAACAAUCAGAACAAUGGCCAAUGCAACGACAAGAAUCGCAACGAUCGCCCCAACAAUGACAACCGAAAUAACUACUCGGGAGGCCACAACUGCAAGCGAAAGCUAGACAACGCUUUCGCAGCAAUUUCGCAGUCAUCCAACAAAGGUGGUGGCAAGAAUAAAGACAGACCUUUGUUCAACGAGCUCCUGAAGAAACAAUGCCCAUGGCAUCCAUACCACAAACACUCUAUGAUAGAAUGUUUUAGUCUACGCAGAGUCAUGAAGGUUCUGUCAGAGCCAUUCGACACCAAAGACAAGGGCAAGGGCAAGGAAGACAAAGAUGAUGGUGGCAAUGGUAAGUUCUAGAACCCAUCCAACACCAUCAAAGUCAUCUUCAGCGGAACCCCGAGUACUGCUACUAAGCGGUCCCAUAAGCUCGCUCUUCGAGAGAUAAUGUCCAUUGAACCUGCAACGCCAAUGUUUCUCAAAUGGUCCAAGGUGCCAAUUACCUUCUCUAGGAAGGACCAAUGGACUAGUUUCUCUAGACUUACUAAAGUACUCAUCGAUGGUGGUAGCGGUCUCAACAUACUAUUCACCAAGACAAUGAAGAAGAUGGGCCUCGACAGCACCAAUAUACUCACCCCAAUGAACUCUCCGUUUAUAUAGGAUCAUCCUGGGCAACGCAGUGGUACCCCUCGGACAGGUGGUUCUGCUAAUUAUCUUUGGGACCAAAGAACACUACUGGACAGAAUACAUCAGGUUCAAGAUAGCGGAUUUCGAAACAUCAUACCACACCAUCCUCAGAAGACCAGCAUUGGCCAAAUUGAUGGCCAUCCCGCACUACGUGUACUUGGUACUCAAGAUGCUGGGACCCAAGGGAGUACUCUCCCUGCGCGGAGACUUGAAGAGGUCGUACGACUGCGACACAGAAGCCAUUGAGCUAGCAGCAACUAUCCAAGUACAAAACUCGAUGAUGCAAGUCUUCACUGCAUCUAAGAAGUUGUCCCCAUCUAAACUCGAAAUCCUAGAAAAGAAGUCGAGGACAACCAAAAUCAAGCCGGCAAGUGAAGUAGACGUUAAAGCCAUUGACCUGGAGAUUGGUGAUAGCUCCAAGAUAGCCUUGAUUGGCACAAGGCUAGAUCCUAAAUUGGAAAGCGUGCUCGCCAGCUUCCUCCGGGCCAACCGAGACAUUUUCGCGACGAAACCAGCGGACAUGCCAGGACGCCCAGGGAGUUGAUCGAGCACUCACUCAACCUGAAUCCAAAAGCUACACCAAAAAGAUAACGCCUACAACGAUUUGCCCAGGACAAAAGGGAAGCCAUCAAGAAAGAGCUAGCCAAACUACUCACGGCGGGCUUCAUAAAAGAAGUCUAUCAUCCAAAGUGGCUCGCCAACCCCAUCCUGGUGCGAAAGAAAAAUAACAAUGAGUGGAGGAUGUGUGUCGACUACACAGAUCUCAACAAGCACUGUCCAAAGGAUCCUUUCGGGCACCAAUAGAAAGAAAAGAAAAAGGAAUGAAAAAGAAAAGAAGAAAAAGAAGAAAACAAAUAAAAUGCUCCUCAGUUCUUUGAGCCUCAUUAAAGUUCCCAGUACUCUCAAGAUUAAGGAUUGAUCCAUACUCAAUUUUUCAACCACGUGCAAUCCGAUAACGAUGACUUCAUUUGUGCCUCGAGAUCAUUCAUUUGUCACUUGCACAUGUCCACUUAUAUAAAUGUGUGUGUUUCAUCCCUCUCCUUCUCCACAUCUAUUUUUCAUGGUCUUUUUGACAAGUCUCAAUAAUCCUAAUAGAUUUCUCUCUUAAUUUAACAAUAUUUCAGAUAUAAUGUUUUGCUAGGAUUGUUUCUACCUACCAAGCUCCACAUAAGCCUUCCACUUUCAUAAAUGAGUAGAAUAGGUUGAAAAUAAUCUAGUACAGGCUUGAGUGACUUGAUGAGAUAAAUGUUUCCAUGAGCUGUUGCAAGAGAAUCUCACUUGUGUUAUAUUUGCAUCUUUUUGAAAAACUCUUCACGAUGAAAUAAGGUAAAGGUCUGAAGUUCACUUAAGUUCAAGAGCAUUGUAUUUAUUUUAUUGCGGUAUGUUCUUUAUUGCUAGUCUAUCCUCCAUGAUGAAAAUUAGCCGGUCACAACUUGAACUUAUGCUAAAUACUUGAGAGAGAAAUGUGUCUUGUUAUGUACAACUGAGUGCAGGGACGACAUCAAAAGGCAAUGUUGAUUUCCUGAUUAAGUAAGUAUCCUGGACUUACUCGACGACGAGCAAGGUUUAAGCAUGGGGGGAUUGUUGACGCUCGUUAUUGACACACUUUUAGUGUCAUUUAAUUGGUAUUUUCAUAUAUAUUCUUAGGCUAAUCUGCCACUUGACACCAAAAAUAACCCCAUUUUUGCAUAUGCAUUGUAUUUUGGAGGACAUUCUAUUUUUACAGAAAAUUGAACUAUAUUGGAGCAUAAUUGGACAAGGCCCUAGAUGAGCAACAAUCCAGAGAAACACGAAGGCUAAUGGGUCCAAAAAGGGCCUAGACCGAUCAGCCUAUAGAGGCUGAGGCCGAUCGGCCUAGGGUCCUCAGGGCUUCGAUCAUGCUCAUGUUCAGCGAGAAUUUCUCCAAGAAUACUUAGGGGCUAAGUUUCACAAGAUAUGAUAAGUUCACUUUAGGACCAAAGAUGGAAACAAACAGGACUUUGAAAAGAUAUCAAAAUCCAUCCUUAUCCCGAGGCUAUCAACGUGCAAUUCCCGCAUGCAAGUAAAAAUAAGUUUCCAUAUCAUCAAAGAAGACUUGACGACGAAGUAGGACGCGAGAGGCCACAAGGACCAUGCUGAUCAGCAUGGACCCCCCAGGCCAAUUGGCCUGAGGCUUUCCUUGCUCCUCUCGCCUUCCAAUUUUCACCACGCUCUCCCCGGACUAUAAGUACCCCAAAAAUUCACCGACCUCUGGCAUCCAUCCACGAGAACUCGAUGAAACGAAGGACAUCCACCAGAGGAAGCUGAGGGCUGCUGCAAGUCUUCGAAGUUGUCUAGAAAAUGGCUUAGGCCGACCCUAGCCACCAUGGCUUCCCUGCGCGAUUGUGUCAUUGUGGAGUUCAGGAGCUAGUUAUGAUCAUCAAUGGUAUGUAAUCGGUGGUGAUGAUCUGAAUACAUUUCUUAUAUGAGCAAUGUUUUUCAUGUCAUCCGAUCUAUUAGCGACUCGUAUUCUCCUUUUAUGCUUUCUUCUUAUCAUGAAUAUGUUUAUUCCUUAGUCUAAUUGGAGGUUAGACUUCAUAGAAUGCUUUAUGUAAUCAUGGUGAUUAGAUCUAGUAUGUUGACCCUUCAUGAUAUUUAGACAUGUUCACUUGUGUUUGUGCCCUUAAACUACCUGCCCUGAUAGAGAGGAUCGUGAUAGGAUCUGGCUUGUGUAAAGUGGGAUUUUUGGGAGGUUGAUCGGAGGUAGUAGUUUAAAGAUUGCUUUGGAUGAGAUGCAUAUUGUGCUUGCUUGUUAGCUAGAACUACAACUAGAAGACGAUAGGCUCUUACUACCCUUGGUGGUUUUUUAUCAUAUACAUAUCUAUGGAUGUGAUCUACCUAUUCUCAUGAUUUACUUUUACACCAAGGUUACCCUCUUCAUAUGCAAUAUAUGUUUCAUGUUAGGAUUAGAUCCGUUAGAUUAUAUGGAAAAUCCUAGUUAGUUCGUUGCCGAUCCACGGAUUGAUAAACAUUGGAUGGAAUACUUUGAGGGAAAAGUCACGAUGAUCCGUGCACUUGCGGUUCACAAACUGGCGUGCUAACUACCAUCAACAAUCCCAAUCCUCCACACCUUCGCUUGAGCAACUUAGGUUGGCCGCCGGAUUCUUCCUAGAGGGAGUUCACGGGACUUUCGCGCUUCCCAACUUAAUCUUCCAUAGCGAAGGUUCCCACGGGACCUUCACGCUUCCCAACUUAGCCUUCCAUAGUGAAGGUGCCUGGGACCUCCGCACCUACCUAUGAAAAUACUUUCAACCUUCGCGCCUUCUUCCUUAUCCUACGAAGCGAAGGUGCCCCGGACCUUCGCGUCUUCCUUUGUUCCGUCCAAACAUCGUUUUAUGCAAUCAUACUUAAGUAAAACGUUACUUACCAACCGAGGGUGACAUUUGAUAUCUCCGAUCCAAAUCUAAAACAGCAACAACAUGGAAGAACCGCUCUAGUUUCCAUUCUGAAAACAAAUUCGAGCUUUUGAAAGUCAUAUCAUAGUGCGUACCGAGUCCUGAACCAGUUGGUCCAAGAAGCAGCUAGGUUCACUUCAUUAUUUCGGGAGCCUGUGUCUUAGUAAGGAUUUCCAUUCGGCCCAGAGACAAUUUGUUGGGCGCUUGUGUGUAAAGUUGGCCAGUUGGGGCUGUUUCUAGGACGACGACAAGGCUGCCUGCUAAAAUUUUAAUACCAUCACCAGUCUUGAGUCUUGACUCUUGUGCGUCUUGAUCUCGAAGAACCAUGGCUGCGGAUGAACUAUGCAUUCGUUUAGGUCACUUCCUUUUGAACUCAAACUUUAGGUCUCAUUCGGAUUACCUGGACAUGAAGGUGUUAGUACUUGGUUACAGGAAGGCAAAGCUAUGGAAGACAUAGAAGGGGGAAAAACCUAAAAAAAAGACGAACGGUUGCCAGACCGCAGACUUCGUUUUUUUCUAAAAUUUGUGUAUAAGGUCAAUAUCAGUGCACAGUUACCAAGUUAGUUACCAAGAUAAAAAACUGUAAUUGUGACAGUUGAGUUUCAUGGGGAAAAACUCUAUGAAACUCCUCAUAAUAAUCUUGCCAAGUUAGCAAUUUUGCUAACAUGAUAAUAAAUUUAAUGCUCAUGAAACUUCCAUUAAGAUCAGCUUGGAUUAGCGGGCAUCAUGAAGUAGUUAGUACUUCGAUUUCGUUGCAGAAACACAAAGCUUUGGGAAAAGAAAAAUCCCGAAAAAAGAAAGUAAAAGGAUAUUGACGAGAAAUCCGAUUUGGUUGCAGAAACACAGAGCUUUUGGGAAAAAACAUCCCGAAGCAAUUAAAAAGAUACACUGACGAGAGUGGGAUUUGAACCCACGCCCUUUCGGACCAGAACCUUAAUCUGGCGCCUUAGACCAACUCGGCCAUCUCGUCUCUGUGAUUGACACUGAACACAAAUAGUAAUGAUUAGAGUAUAUUCUUGCCACAAUCACGUGUCCUACUUCGAAUCUGACGGAAUAACUAACCGAAAUUGUCUCAAACGAACAACAAAUUAUACAAAGGAGAGAGUAUGGGUCUACUUCUAGAGAGUAACACACCAAUCAUACAUUCACCAACGUGUUAUAUUAUAAGUAUACACAAGUGGACCUUGAUACAGAUCGAUCUACUAACCUGUCAUGCAUGCUGCGGCCCAAGUGAACCCAGCCCGACUGCUCGUUCCAACCUCCAACUAAGGGUCCCUUUGGAAUUCUUGCCGGACACUCGCCUCACCUUGCUGUAAGGCCGCUUGUAGCAAGCUUGCCUGGCUGGGCAAGGAUUUCCUUGCUCACGUAGGAGAGCCGAUUCCGCUCUCCUGCGUUGGUAGGUUAGCUUGCUCACCGAGAAGAACACAAGACAAGCACGAGAUGUCACGGAAUCCAGAUCUGCCGCUGUCGAAUCGAGUCCGGUGCCGUUGAAUCGAACUCACCGGCACCAAAUCAGACCUUGCCGCCACUAGUUGGAGUUGCCACAUCCAGCCUCGCGCCACCGAAUCGGGCCAGCGGCCGUCAAAUCGAACCUCGCGGCAGCCGAAUCGAACCCCGCCGUCGCCGAAUCGAACCCCGCUGCCGCCGAAUCGAGCUGCUCCACCGCUGAAUCGUGCUGCUCCACCACCGAUUUGGUGAGGCGAGGCGAGCGGCGGCAAGGGAUCCGAACGGACCCUGAGCCUGUUUCUCUACAGCUAAAAAAAUUAAAACUAGAAAAAACAUCGUAGGUAAAUCGCGUUACGCGCUUUGGGUCUGCCAUCGAUCGAUGCAACGCCGUCCAUAGCCCUCCGCCCCUCCGCGCACAAACCGCCUGCCGUUUGAUCCCCCGCAUCCCUCCGAGCCGUACUUCGCUCCGCCCGCCGCGCUCCCCCCUCCUUUCCGCCGUUCGUUCGCCUCCCGUUCACCCUCCUCACGAUCUCUUUCUCGAGCCGCCGACGGCGCCCGUGCCGCGCCGCCGCCGUCCCCCAUCCUCUCCGCGCCCCGACCCCUUUCUCGAGCAGCCGCCGCCGCCCGCCCUCCAUCGCCAUACCCGCGCCGCCGCCGUCCCCGGUCCUCUCCGUGCCCCAAUCGCCAUACCAGCGCUGGCACCACGAACGCCAGCACGCGGCCCAGCCUCGUCGCGGCCGCUCGCCAGCCGGCCUCCUCGGCUCAAGGAGACAUUCUCCGUGGACGUCGCGGCGGCUGAGGCGGCCCCGCUCGCCGUGCCCCUCGCCGCGCCCUUCGCCAUCGCGUCCUCGCGCCUCGACGCCGUCUCCAUCGUCGCCGUGCGCGUCGAGCUCCGCAGCGGCGCCGUCGGGUGGGGGAGGCACCCGUGCUGCCAUCCGUCGCCGACGAGGACCAGCCGGCCGCGCUCGCGGCCCGCGGCGUCGCUCGGCGCGCUGCUCGACGAGGUCGCCGGUGUCCUCCCUGGACACGCCUUUGCAUCGGUGAGGAAUCCGCACCUUCCCUCGCCCGGCUCGCGGGGUAGUAAAAUUUGCAUUCUGUUGCAGCUGGGUUGACAGGUGCUUGAUCUUGAGAUGAAGUGAAAAGUCUAGGAUGUUGUGGAAAUCUUAAAUUGUUGAACGUGGUGAUCCCGAUGUUGAUGGGGUGACUGCACUUUGAAGUAUAGGCUUUGAUGUAGAUGGGAAUUGCCUUUCAGGCGCUGAAUUACUGAAAGAUUUUGUUUCUUUCAGAGGAUCUAAUUUGUUGCCAUCCUUACGAGGUGAGUGGCAUGAAUUUUGCCAUCAUGUGAGAGGGAUGAAUGUGAGAUGGCCUUCAGAGGAAGCGUAACUGAAAACCAAGCUUGGUUAUAACCGUUAAUAUUUGCUCUGGAUGGUAACUGGCCUGGUGAAAUCAUCCUUGAAAACCCAUUUAACCUGAAAAAAAAAUGUUUGGUUAGUUAUAAGCUUAGAGCAGUUCAUUCAGAAUACAAGCCCCUAAACCAACCAGUUUUGUAUCCCAAAAAAAAAACCUACAUAAGCAUAAAGGUCCUUUCCAUGUGAAAAAUCAAUUAUUUUGUUUUGCUCAUGUAGAAAUGUACCAUUUAUAAAAAAAGACCGUUGAUGAAUAAAUGGAAAAACAGGCAUGGAUUAUUGUUUGUUUCUGAUAUUCAUAUGUGUACUCAAGUGUUCGGUUGUUGUUUACACAUCAAAUACAAGAUUUCCCAUUCCAUGUGUAUUUGAUUGUAAUUGUUUUCCAAUUAAGGCUAGAGCAGGAGUGGAGAUGGCACUGAUUGACGCGGUUGCUAACAGCAUUCACAUCCCUCUCGUGAUUAUUUGGAGGGGCAUCAGAUACUGUGACCACGGACAUAACGGUAUAUUUUUAUCCCAUCAUAGUCUGCACUAUGUCCAGAAAGUUAUAAAUACCUUCACCAAAUAACAUAUUCCAUAUUUCCCAACCUAGAUUCCAAUCGUGGCCCCAAAUGAAGCUGCUCAAUUGACUGCAAAAUAUCGAGGGCAAGGGUUUCAAACACUGAAGCUCAAGGUUGGGAAAAACUUGAACUCAAAUAUGGAAGUUCUGAAGGCUAUACGGUUUGUCCAUCCAGACUGCUCAUUUAUCUUGGAUGCGAAUGAGGGAUACACAGCUGAUCAAGCAAUUGAAGUUCUUGAUAGACUAAAUGGUUUGUACUCCUGCAAACUCUGUGCUACUAUAUCAAUUCACCUUUUAAUCUUGCCUCAAUAUGUUGAAUUUAUUAGCUGUUCAUGAUCUGUAUAUUCCAACCUUCUCCCAGUAGUUCUUCUAACUUAUUUUUGUUUCUAUUCUGUCACUGGUUUUAGAAAUGGGUGUGACCCCUGUACUCUUUGAGCAACCAGUUCACAGAGAUGAUUGGGAAGGUGUCCAUGAUGUUAGUAUUGUUGCCAUGGAGAAAUACAAAAGUCGCUGUUGCUGCUGAUGAAAGUUGUCGGAGUUUACUUGAUACUCAGAAAAUAAUACAUGGGAAUCUGCCCCAUGUUAUUAACAUCAAGCUAACAAAAUUAGGGGUUCUUGAGCCCUUGAAAUAAUCGACGCUGCAAGAAAAGCCAAUGUCACUUUGAUGAUUGGCGGUAUGGUUGAGACUAGAAUCGCUAUGGGUUUUGCUGGUCAUCUAGCUGCUGGGCUUGGUUGUUUCAGGUGCGUUUGUUGUGAAAGUAUGAAAUCAUUUUUAAACAUUGUGCUUAGGUUGCUCCAGCCAGCAAAUUGAAAGAAAUAUUACUUUGUUCAAGACCUUAUAUAUGUUGAAUCAGCUGCUAAAAUUGUUCUUGAAGCAUAUGGAUGCAGUUUUGUUGAUCUGUACACACCUCAUUUACUGUCGGAAGAUCCAGUGUAUGGCGGCUAUGAAGGUAGUCUUACUCUCUGCACAAAACUCUUUAUAUGUCUGCAGCUCCUUUUUAAAGAUAGUGGCUACUGGCGACUACAUUCAUGUCUACUUUUAUUAAAAAUGGGAAACUACGGUUGCAGGUCCAGUAAUGGUUUCAGGCCCACAAAGAUUCAGUAAUGCUUUCGUAUGAUGUGUCAUAUGUGUUCUUUCCUUGACUCAGCCUGCUGAACCCAAACCCUUCUGUAUCUCAAUUCUCAUUUGAGGAAACUACUUAUGUCGUGGAAAAUCUGUAUCUCAGUUGUCUUGAGGCUGCUAUGCUUGUUGGGAGAUUGAUCCUUUCAAGCUGCUGACCUUCAUAAAACAAAUUAAGUCUCAAACUGUAUCUCCAGUUUAUUGUUUAUACGACUCAUGCAAAUUCUCUCUCCAGCCUUUGAACCUCUGUCGUACAAGUUCACAAACGCCCGAGGCCAUGGUGGUUUCCUUCACUUGGACAACGAUGAAUCGGUAUAUCACAGUUAUCCCUGAUGCUUAGUUACCCUCUGGCUUCCUGUAGAAGUAUUGUGUUCUUCUCCUUGUUUCAUGUGGGAGCAUUGUAUUUUUUCCCCUGAACUGACAAUGUAGCUAGCUGAUUUGGGGGAAAACGAGGGAUCUUUCCCUUCCUCUCAUCUGUCACAUGAUGCUUGUGGGGAAUUUCCCUGCGUUUAAUUCCUACGUACAAAUCCUGCUAAAUUUUGGUCUCACCAUUCCAUAGUGGGUAUUAUUUUUUUUCAUGUGUGCCUAUACCUAUGUGCAACGUCAAGUUGUAGCUUCUUCUAUUUAUUUUUUGAACUUUCAGGUACCUUGAAAAUAUAUUAAGAUAUUGUGGUCGAUGCAUAUCUUUUUUGUUCCCCCCUUUUGUUGCACUCUUGUUAAAUAAGAUUUUUUUAUACUUACUGAUAUGCUUGAGAUCAAAUCAGAUUAUAAUAAUGAUGCUCAGAGUAGGGUUUGUCAUGAAAGAUGGCCACCAACCUCUUAAUAACAUCCCUGUCUUUUUGGGCAGACUCCUCACGGCACAUGGUAAACCUAUGCUAUUAAACUGCCUUCACCAGAUUACAAUGAACUGUGAACUUCAGAACUUUAAUUUUUGAUAAGUUGGAGUCGAUGCUUAAGACUUCAGAACUUUAUUUAAUAUAUGACAAUUUUAAUAGCAGUUUGAUUGUUUUACUCCUGAGUACCAACAGCUCUAAAUUUUUGUGCACUGCACCCUUAGUUUUUGAGUAAAUAAUACUGAUUGCUGAGGUUACAAUGCAUCUUUCUAUGUGGGACUAUAGUUUUGUCAAGUAAGGCUAUGUACACAUUGAUAAAUCUGCUUCAGAAUAAUAUGGCUGAUACAUUGCAAUCUCAUUAUCUGAACAAAAUUAGGUCUAUCUGUUAUUAGUAGAAGGCUUACUUGUUAAAAAGGACCUAAAUAGGUUUCUUUGUCUAUAUGAAUCUUCGGGGAAUUCUGCUUAUCUUCCAUGGAUAGAUGCUACUUCAUGUGUGUGUCAGCUUUUUGCUUGCCAAAGGAGCUUGUGACUUGCAACUACUACUUAUUCAAUGAUCUCUAAUAACUGAAUCAUUUUGUUCAGAUUCUAAUUAUCAGAUCUUUUCCUGAUCUCUUUAUGUUUUGAGGUGUUGGAUGAGAAAGGGUUAAUGGUGGUUGCUACCAUGCUACAAGAAAUCAGAGCUUGUCGUUAUGAGUGCUGUAGUUGAAGUGAGGUUAGUGUACGUUAAACCAUGAUGGGCCUAGGAGACUUCAUCAUUCUACACUCAAGAAGCAGAAAGGUGAUUGUUGCCCCCCACGACUUGUUGGAUGCAGGUUGGUUUGGUGUUUGCAUUCGGUUGGUGUUUGCAUUCGGAUCAGGUACGAUUCAUAAUGCUUUGAUCCGCGAUUCUUAGAAAAUGUUGUGUUUCAGGCAGCCAGUGUGUUGACGCAAAAAUCAGACGAUGACCUUCGCGUACUAACACACGUCUCUCGAUCCAAGGCGUGCCAGUCAAUUUGACUUGCUAAUUGACAAGGAUAAAGAAGAUGUUAAAUUUGAGAGCGAAUCGGCUGAUGUUCCGAUUAGCUCCAGGAGAUCGUAACGGCCGGGUAGCCGAUACAGAAAAAGGACGAUAGGUUAGGUUAGCCGAUGUAUGCAUAUUCAAUGCAAAGGAAUUGUUGAAACGCAACCUAAACAAUGCUACGUGAACAAUACUUGAAACAGAUCCGAUCGAAACCUAUUCCAAGCUGGAUAGUGGUGAUAGCAACAAGAUUUAUAUAAAUAAACUUGCAGAUCUAGUGAAUAUCGAUAACUUGAUGAAUAAAUCUAGACGAAACAACAGUGAUGCACUGGAAGUUAAAGUCUAGAAAUUACUCGUUAAAACGGAACUUACAGUCCAGCUGGAGAUCAAGAUGAUACAGCCCUGCUAGCUUGGAGAACUCGUGAAGAAAAAGAAAUCUUUGGCGAAGUCACCAACUUGAAAGUAAAUUACGAUUAAAAUAGAUUUGUUUGUUUGUGCGUACCUAUUUUUCAGACCUUACAGGGUUUCUAUUUAUAUCCUAAACUCAAGACUUCUAAUGGGUUUCUAUUUAUAUCCUAAACUCAAGACUUCUAGUCCUAAUUGAUUAGGACGCAAUACAAUAUCUGUCCUAAUUGAUUAUGACGCAAUACAAUAUUUGUAAGUAAAGAAACAAACUUUUCUAAAUAAAAUGACUCGUACAAGAGUCGGAAAUGAAUUUGACCUCCCUUGACCAACUCUACAUCCAUUGUCUCGCAAUAUCUUCGCCGAUCAAGACUCUUGCCUUUUAACGGUCGAACCCUAAUAUCUCCGAUCAGCUGGAAUCCUCUUGCUCGCAUCGGUUAGGUCUCCGUCACCCUUCAUCGGCUGACACCUUCCGUCCUCAUCGGUUGGGUCUACAUCACCUUUCAUCGGCUAAACCUUUGUGACUCUAUCGAUCGUUUUCACUAGCCGUUGCCAUUUUGUCAUGCAUCAACAUCUCUGCUUCCUUUUGACGUCAGUUUUGACACGUGUCAAAAAACGGUGUCAACAAUGUUAAUCGGUUGCUUGGGAUUCUUUUGCUAGCAAGUAGUAAGGUUGCAAUUUCGUCAUCACCUGCAGAUAGGCAUCGAGGUAUUUUCCGCAUCCAGGAGUGUGUGCACCGCGUUCGUGGGAGCGGUGGAGAAGAAAGGCCAUGAAGCGGCUCCCAGGACAAUGUCGUCGACGUCCACGGGGCCUUGUGCAGGUCAGCUUCUGCGGUUCUACCCAACCUUGGUCUAUGUGAGCUCUGGCUUUGCGAGCGCAUGGAGACACCCCCACGGCACAUGACCGGUUGGAGCAAUUGGCUGGUAGCUUGCCAUGAUGUGCACUUUCGAUCAGUUCAUGAUGGCCUCCAUGCGCGUGAAGGUAAUGUGCUCGUGGAAAUUCUCCUAGAGCAAUGUCUGGAUUAAGCCACGAAUGUCAUCAUAUUGUGUGAACUAUGCAAGCGUUUUCUGAAACAUUACAUGUGCGGUAGUACAGUUAAAUAUGAUAAUAGAAUGAUGCUCGUUUUAUGAUUUACAUGGAUGGAUUUCAAGAUGAAUUUAACAAUUGUACUGCAUUCUGGCUUUAUUUUGUCAUUUAUAAUGACCUGUUGGUUUGAAACUUGCUCAUGCAUGGCAACUGAUAUAUCUUCAUGAAUUAGCAUGGACCUAGAAAACCCAUGGAAAGAUACCGAGUACAGAAAAUUUCAUAUUUUGGGUGUUCAAAACAAGUUAUUUAAGAAAGCAAAAGGAUCCUUCUUUAAAUAAGGGCAUAUGAUUUAAAUAAGGGCAUAUGAUUUGUUGUAAAAAAUAUAGGUUUCAUGUCAUCCUUUGGUUUCAGACUUUCGGGCAUGCGAUAGAUUUGGUUUUGGGCUUGAAUGCUCUGGCGUAUAUAAUUUUAUUUAAUUCAUUAACUACGUUCUUGAUUAAUUUUUUUUAAUAUUUAGAUUUAUUUUCACAUUAUUAUUGUCUCGUCGAAUACUCCAUGUAUUUCUAUAUAUAUUGCCCGUAGCAAUGCAUGGGCACGAUCCCAUUAGAUGAUUAAAAUUUAAGUUUAACUUUAACUAAAGUUUAGACGUCUAAACUUUAGUUGGCUAAAAUUAGUCUUGUCUGGUUUGGAGCGGACCUAAUUUUUAGGUAAAAGUUCAUUCUAUCCUUAGAGGGUGUAGGGGAAAAAUAGCAAGAUUUCAGUGGGAGGGUAUUUUUUAUCUUUAUGACUAAAAUUAGCCCCCAUUAGCUGAGUUUGGAGGAUUAAUAAAUUAAAAUUUAGUUGGAGAGUUGGCUAAUUUUUAGCUCACCUUUAGUCCCAAACUUGUCCCACAGUUUGGAUCAUCAAAAGCUAAUUUUUAACCUGAUUAAGUUUGACCUUGGAUCCAAACCGAACCUAACCUAGUCAUGCGAGCUUAAAGCCAGCACUGUGUUAACUCUUGGUCCAUCCAUCUACAUAGGCGUGCCCGUUUUUUUUUUUGCAUAUUGCAAAAAUGCAAAGUAGCUUAGGUACGUAUCCUAAUUAAGUAUUUUCUUCCAGCAAGCUUACGUUGCACACUUGUAUAAUGUUAGAAAUAGGGAUAAUUGGUGAUCAAUUAGUGGUUAAUGGUGCUGCUAAUAAUGACAUAUUUCACUAUGCUAAUUUUAUGUUAAAAAUAUUCGUGCAUCCUAUAAACUCGGUCAAUUUAAGUUAAAGAAAUUUGGCUUAAAAUAAAACUAAAAUGUUCUAUACUUUAAAACCGAUGGAGUAUAAUUAAGCUUGCACGUUGUACGCCGUUGGCUUGACCUAGUGGAUGCAUGGUUGGCACGGCACGACCUAGUGGAUGCAUGGUUGGCACGGCACGUGCAUACGUAUAUAUGCUACAUGCAGAGGUGGAUCCAGGAUCUCUAGAUAUGGGGGCUCAUUUCCUCCUCCUUCCUUCCUCCUCUCCGGGGGUUCCAGCCCCCACACUAGAUCCGUCCCUAGCUACAUGCAAAUCUUUUGAAAUUAGAACAAACGAUUGAGUAAUCCACUAGCUCUAGAACCAAUUUGGCUUAAUGGUCCAUUACUCGAUGUGUCAUGUACAUCAUGGAGAUAAUAUACUCCAUCAUGGUACAUAGGGACAUAGCACGCCCCAUCCAUCUUAUUAUUUUCUCAUGAUGUUCUUUAUUCCUUCUUGCAUCUUCUUCUUCCUCUUUGACAACCUUAGCUUUGAUCACUCUUGUUAGCUUCACAAAGAUACUGACUUUGACACCCUUGUCUCAUGCCACCCUUGUGAAGACCUAGGUUAACAGCGGUGAGGGGGCCGCCACUCAAGUUUGAAAAAACAUAGCUAUUUUACAAUGUUCCACCGUAAAACCCAAAUAACUUAUAGUCUAAUUACUCUUACUGUUGACGUAUGUCUUUUUUUGGCGCACCCCUUGGACCUCUUCGCCGCUCCAGUAGCUCACGUGGGCUAUCAUAACAUGAUACUAUAUCUUGGUGACAUCAUGUGGUGCAGGAGCCUCCUGCUAUUUGAAUAGUGUUUUCAUGCAUAUUCUAUACUAACCCAUCACUUGGUACUUGAAAUAAUCCCAUUAUUACGUAUUGUGUUUUGGACCAUAUUGCAAAAUCACAGGAAAUACGAUAUAAAUAAAGGGUUUUUCUACAAGGUGUACUUGGGUCCGGACUUUGGAUAUUGAAAGGUCCAAAUCAUGAACAUUGAAUUGCAGGCCUGCAGAAGAAACUGAACUUGCACGGGCUAUAUCUUCCUCAUCCGAACUCCGAUUGGGGCGAAUUUACAAGAAAAAUUGCAUGGCUCAACGAGAUAUACAACUUUCGUAUGAAGCGCUCGGGCAUUAGAGGCCAAUAGGGGGUGGGCCGAUCGACCUCCCCUUUCACCUUUCACCAGGAGGAAGCUCGUGAUGUCCUUAGGGUUGUUUUCCAGAUACUUGGCCUCAAAGGCACCCUAACUGACGCCGCCAACUAUAAAUACCAAGACAUGCAACAAGGAGGAGGAUCCCGACGAGUCUAGACCUAGCCACCGCCGCCACAAGAUGAAAAACAGGGAUUAGAUCUAUCACCGCGACGACCAACGCCGACCAACGCCGACGGAGGGCGGGAGGCACGAAGAAUCCCUCAGGCCUAUCGACCUGAGGAGCCCUAAGCCAAUCGGCCCAGGGUGUUCUUACACUCCCUCGCCGCCAUCUUCGGUGACGACAUUCUCCAGAGUCUUCUUCCCCCCCUUUUUGCGUCAAUCUCUGUAAGAUGAUGGGGUAAAGCCUCCGUUCAUCCCUAGGAUUGUUUGGAUCCUUGAUAUGUAACUACUACAUGUACUUUAUGCUUAUCAAUUCUUCAUGGUCUAUAUCAUUGCAAUGCUUCAUUCAUAUGUGUUCUAAUCAGCCCAUAUUCUUAGUAGUGUGUGUGGUAAUCGUGGCGAUUAGCUUAACUAUGUGGACGCUUUGAUAUAGAUGUGUGAGCGAGAUUGUUGAGUACCCCUGUGUAGUGACGGUAUGCAGUAGGGAAAGAGCGGAGCAAGCAUAUAAUCGUUGUGAAGCUAGUGAAGGUAACACCCCUUUUGUAUUGUAGAUGUAUAUUCUUGUGAACCUAGAUCUUAGGAAGGGAACGCAUAUCUAUCUUUAUUUUCCAUCUUGUAUCACCCUUUGCUCUUUGUUAGUUUAGAUUAGUUUGUCUCUCUACACAACUCAUAGUCUUAUUUCGUUAGUAAAGUCACUAUAAAGUGAGAGCCAGCAUCCCACUUAUCCACGGAUUGAUAAACCUUGGAGGAUACUCUAAUGGAAAAGUUACAAUUGAUCCAUGCAUUUGUGGUUCACCAAUUGAUGCGUUAACUGCCAUCAACACCUUCCAAAAUGCAGCUAAGGAACAUAUUUUUUAAAGUUCAUGUACAAACAUUUUUCUUUACUAUUUUUUACAUCCAUUAACAUUUGUUGACAAUCAUCAACAUUUUUUAUAAAUUGUCACCAACAUUUCUUGGCGUUGACAAACAAUUUUUAUAUGUACCAACAUUUUUAUUCAAAUUUUUUGCAUUCACCAAUAUUUUUGGCUCAACAUUUUUUUGACAUUCACCCAUUUUUUUAUGAGAUAGUUCACCUAAAAUAAUGUUGACUUUUAAAAAUGCAACAAAAUAUAGUCAUACUGGAUCUCAUUGUAGUAUUAAUCCAGCAAAUAUCAUGGUUCAAAUAUAUUUUAAAUUGGAAAUAGACUUUAAAUUGGAUGCAUGGGUUAAGAGAAAAAUAAAUCAAAAUUUCAGAUUCAAAAGGAAUCCCUCCGGUCAUGCAUCCCGAGCAGCCAACUAGGCUCUGACGCGUGUCCUGCUCCCCUCCUCUAACCGGUUGUGCGUGGAGCAACAAUUGCAUGUGCGUUGAUCUCGUCCAUUCAUUUCGGUUUGCACGGAUCUCAAAUAUUGGAAGGUGGAUAACAAAUUUUCUUUUGCAAGAUAUAUAGGUUUGCUGGUGGUACAACCGGAUUAUCAAGGGAAUGGGAACAGAAGGCCCAAUGCAUGUUCAACUCGUGGGCCUAAGCCAUUAGCAAGCCCAAGCUUAAGGAUUCCACUCAUUCAUUGCUAGAGGCGACAAAAUUGCCUGAUGUCACCUGAAGCACAACUCGGCCUGCUCAAUAAACAGUAGCAGCAUGCAACCCAAAGAAGGGAGUAUGAACGUGGUAUGCAGUUGGACCAACCCAAAAUGUAUAACAUUCUUUGACUGAAAGUGGGAUUUUUUUUGGCUGAAAUGGCCAGUCAAAAUAACGUAACAUGAAGAAAACUAAUAUAACCAUUAAAAAUUUAUUCUACAAAGUGAACAAUAAGGUUGAACACAUGAAAAAAUACUUUCGCACUUAGAACAAAUUAGUCUUGCAUGUGACCAAUUUAGUCAACAAAACUACAAAAGUGAACAAAAUGACCCUGCAUGUGAGAGAAAAAAAUACAUGAAGAACAAACUCAUCAAUAUUACAAACAAAUUAUGUUUUCAGGCUAACAAAGUAUGUAUACAUGGUGGAAAUGACUAGUAUAAAAAAAGAAAAGAAAAAAUAAGAAGAAAGGAUAGUACUACAAAAAAUAAAAGGAGAAAGGAGGAAAGAAAACUAGUAUUACUGAAAUGAAAAUAAAAAAAUACAAAUUUUAAUAAGGAAGAAAAGGAAAAAUAUAAAAAAAAGCAAAUGCUUGAAACGGAAAAUGAAACAAAAGGAAGAAAAAAAUAAAGGUAGAAUAAAUAUGAACUAUACCAGUAUUAAAUGACUGCACGAUUAUUUUGAAGGGAAAAUAAAAAAUAAAUAAUGAAUAAUAAAAUAAAAAUAAACAAAAGAGAACUAUAGAAGAAAAAGCAAAAUAAAAAUAAAAAAAUACAAUAAGAUGCAGGAGGCGCCAGGCUUGCGCAGGCCACGGCAGUGUAUCCCCACGCGGCCGAAAACGUUAUUGGUCCGGCACCUCUUUUGCGGGCUAAAAACGUUAUUGGGCUGAAUUCCUUCAACCAUCGUGUGUGCGCGCGACAAGAGAUCUCCACGGGAUCUUUUCUUAAAAUUUCUUGAUCAGAACUACUACGAACGGAUCGGUACGAGUCGCAUAUGUUUCUAUGCGCAGUGUUGGUCUAUUGGCAGGACAUCCGUAGAAGGAACUCUAAUCGCCAUUGAUCUACUGUUACUGCGUUCCAAAAACAAUAGGGAUGAGUCUGCGAUGGGAAGUAAUACCUACCGGAUGCGCAGGGAAGCAAUUGCAUGGACGAUUCUGCCAACUAAUAAAUCCCGGGUGCUGAAACUGAUGGCCAGCUGAAUAAUAAUUACUCUAUCCGUUUCAAAUUGUAGGUUAUGUGUACGUACCUAGACAUACACUAUAUUUCGGUGCAUAUAAACAUCUAUACACUUAGAAAAGUCAAAAUGUACCUGCUAGCUGACGCCUCGUGCUGCUCUUUCUGGUGUGGUCGAUACAACCAAAAGGAAAGUAGCAGUGGCAGCAGUAGCAGCAGCAAAGCAAGACAAACAGCUGCAUCAUUUCUUGUUCGUCUAGGUUGGACCCAUCAGCCGAUCCCCGUCCAUGGCUGGAGCUAGCUAGCUUGCUUGCUCAUAUUGUAUAUUUCCAUGCCACUUCAGGAGACUUUCUUCGUUUUUUUUAAAAAAAAUAGAUAGACAUUUGCAGAACAUUUUUCAGUGUGGGAUGCACGCACUCGGUAUGCAUGCGCCGACAGGAGAAGGGCAAGGCGUUGCAGGUCCAUGUGAGCCACCCGCGUCGAUCCCCUGCUGCCUCAAGCAGCAAGCACCGAGGCAUAGUUGAGUGUGAUGCGAUGGACGGUUGCGCACACAGCUAUCACGGUUGCAGUCUUUGCCAGUUUUGCAAGUCUGUGUUUCCAAAAGAACGGAGCCUAGCUAGCCUUGGAGGCAUCAGGGGAUAGCCAAGACUUUUGGGGUUGUAUGCAACAGAACGCAUGGACUUUGUGGAGAGAAUCUCGCGGCGUUAAUACAUUCGGUUAAUCUUCGGUGGUCAAAUGCAAUGUACCUUCGAUUUGCCAAAAUACUCCACCCACGCAAUUAACUAGUUUGAUUGUGUGUUGCUUAACUUUUUCCACCAAAAAAAAGUCUAAUGUGUAAAAUCUUAACUCCUACAACCUGUAGCCUUAUGUGGAUGAAUCCAAGAAUUGCCAAGCCGUAUGCCCAAAUCCUAUUGAUCUCGUAUUAAAUCCGGCCAGUUAUGCAAAUGCAAUUUUCCAUUCUAUGGCCGUGACAUUCAUUCACGCGCGUGACAUUUUUCCUUGCAGCAGUUAUUUUCUGUUUAUUUUGUGGAUCUUCAGUUUUACAAAGUGCCUUGAACGCCCUUAAUUUUCUAACCCUGGCACUGUGCGUAUUUAAGUGCUGUGCUUAAGCAACUUUCUCACCUCCCCCCCGAUCCCACUUUUCAAUUCCUUCCUCUCUCGCUCUUGCUUGUGGAGAGGAUGCUUGUCACCUACUCCUUUUAAGUUCCCCACUCCCCCCUCUCACCUUCCGCCUCUUUUCCAUCAUAUUAUUGUUAUCCUUGAGGCCCAAAGCCAGCACAGAGCAAGCAAAGGGAGAAAGAAAGGGAGGGUGGGGGCCAAAGGAAGCAAGCAGAAGCAGCAGCUCACUCCUCGAGCAUUGCAGUUGCAGCGCUUGCUCUGUGCUGGUCUUGCUCAAUUGGUCUUCAGGCAGGAAUCCCUGCUUGCUCGGUGAUGGACAGGCACACCUGCAAGCUCUGCUUCCGGAGGUUCCACAAUGGCCGCGCGCUGGGCGGCCACAUGCGCUCCCAUGUCAUGGCUGCCGCGGUGACGGCAGCGUACUCGCCGCCGCCGCCACUGCCGCGGCCGCAGUCGCCGCCGCUCUCCCUGGCGUCCACCUCGUCGACCGAGAUGGACGACAAGCCGGCGCAGCACAAGCCGGUGGCGUCGUGCGGUUUACGCGACGGCGCCAAGAAAAGGUCCAGGAUCGGCGCCCCUGAAUUCUCCGGCGGUUGGGCGGCCGGCGGCGAUUCGUCGGUCGUGCAGGACGGCGAGAGCGACACGGAGUCACCCCCGCGGUUCGCCGUGAGCCGCCGCCGGUCGAAGCGGUCGCGCCGUCGCGCGCAGCCACCGGAGUCCACGCCGGAUCCCGAGCAACCGGCGAGCAGCGUCUCCGACGCGACGACCGAGGAGGACGUGGCCAUGUCGCUCGUGAUGCUGUCCCGGGAUUCGUGGACGCGGUCCAGAUCCGGGCCCAAGCACCACCGGGCCCAGGCGAGCUCGGAAGCCGAGCAGAACAACGACGACGACGCGGACGAGGCCGAGCACGGCCACGACGUCGCGCGCCCGCGCGGCAGGCACCAGUGCGGCGCGUGCAGGAAGGUGUUCCGUUCGUACCAGGCGCUGGGCGGCCACCGCGCCAGCGUCAAGAAAGGCAAGGGCGGGUGCGUGCCGGUGCCGUUGCCGUUGCCGCCGCCAACGCCUCCCACCGCGCCGCCGUCCAAGGCUCGGCGCGUCGAGACCUCCCCGGUGAUCCACCAGUGCCCGUUCUGCUUCCGCGUGUUCGAGUCCGGGCAGGCCCUGGGGGGCCACAAGCGCACGCACAUGCCGUACGCCGGCGCGCCGGCCCCUUCGACGCCAGCGAAAUGCGGCGACAGCUCGGGGUCCAUCGAUCUCAACGUGCCGGCCGCGGUGGACGACGACUUCGAGCUCUCCGCCGUGUACGACGCAGAGUUCGGCAGCAGCACCAGACAAUGAGCUCACCUGCUGAUGCUGAUGCUGAUCGAUACAUGCUACCAACGCCAUCUUCAGAUCGGAAGAUGUACUUGCACAAGCGCAGGAACUGCAGACUAGCUGCUGGCUGCUGCUGCAUGCUGGAAAGAGAUCGAGCACUCGAGGUUCGAUGUAAGGGCUUGGGAGUUGGAAUCCAUGCAAGAACCAGAUGGAGAACGACAGUUGAGCGUUUUAUUUUCUCUCUUAAUUCUCUCUGUUACUCUAUUGCGAUUGUUAGUGUAGCAGUUCGUGCCUAAUUAGAUGAACAGCAUAUUCAAUUCUUUUUGAUCUCUUGUACCUAAAUCAAAUUGACCCAUUUACUUCAAAUUUCUCAUUGAAAAGUGGGGGCAAAAGAAAAUUGCAUUCACCAUGUUCUUGACCUGUCCCAUUAAACUCUGCUUCAUUGAACCUCAUACUCACAGCACUAGCAGCAAGCCAGCAAAAGCAGUGGCAACAGAUGCAUGUACUAGCUAUAGUAACUUAUGCUCGCAAAACCACCAACGCUUUGGCUCCAAGAAUUUGGCUGUAGUACAUUGAAAUUUCACAUGCCGGAUCAAUCGUACUAAUUACUAGUAAGCCAUACCCCGGUGGUUUUAUAGCUAACUCCUCCCCGCUGUUCGUCGUUAGCCUUUCCAGCUGUUGGCCACACUGCCUCCCGCCUUGGCACGUACCAGAGCGCUGGUUCGUGCAUCACGCGACUCAUACCGCACCGUACCAUCUCGUUCAAAUGCUUAGUACUCUCGGUUGAGUACUCCCACCAUUCACCAAGUCAUGAGCUGUGUGUGUGCUUGUGCCACAGCAUCAGGCUCCACCAGAACAGUGCCAUGAGUACCUGAGCUUAGCUUGGCUUCUCUCCUAGUGCUAGUGCUAGUCCAGCUCGCUUUGCUUGCCUCAGACUCCGAUCAAUGCAGCAGUAGCAGCCUAGCAGGCAGCUGCUCGUGCUUGCUUCCCAGCCAAAAAGGCUCCCCUGCUCUUGCUCUGCUCGCGGCUCGCGCCAUUCGUUUCCACCGCCGCUACCGGCCGGUGCCCCGCUCGUGCUCGUGCAUGUGGGCUGUGGGGAAGGGCACCUGGUCCCCCGCCCCCGCAUGGCAGCGUCGGUGUGGGGGUGCGCUUGCUCUGCCGGUCUGCCCAGUUUGGUGGCUGGCUGUGGCUGUGGCCUGUGGGAGCGGGUUCCGCCUGCGCCCAACUGCCCGCCGUCGCUUCUUGUCCUGACUCCCCGCCUUGGCGGUUGCCUCCCGCGCAUUUCUGGUCCUGGGCCCUGGCGCCUAGCGACCCGGUCGGCUUCGUGCCUUCGUCUCGUCUCGUUCCCCCAUGGUCUCCCACUCUCCCCUCUCAUCUCUCGUCUCCGGCUGCCAUUUGCCCGAACUAGGCACGUCCGAGGUACGUAAAACACACUGCCGCUCGCUUUCAUUCGCACCACCAUUUCGCAAGCAUCUAAAGCAUAUACGCGCGUAUAUGUACCCGGUCUCUUGAAGGAGCGUGCUUGCACACUGUCCCUAUCUGUGUGUGUUGUGCCGACUGCCGAGUGCCGAGAGCCCAAGACUGCCGACACAGCGACACAGCACACUACUGGCAGGUAGGGCGUCCCUGACACGCGACGAUACUACCAUGUGGGGCGCAGUGGGGCGGACCCACCUGUCGGUGUCCGUUCGUAGGAACUAAUGAGAAUAUUCUACACAGCAGCGCGCAGCCGAUCUGCCAGGAGUCAGCGGUGGACGGGAGCCACAUUCCCGCGGGUCAGCGUCGCCGUCGUGUUGAGUUCAGUGGAGCGAUCACUGCUCGGUGUUUGGUGUACUAGUAGUGGCCAUCAGCGGCUGGUGGGGCGGUUAAGCCUGCGUAAUCCGCGGCUUGACUUGUACUAGUACGAACCUGCCUGAACCUGAAGGCCUCGACCUCAACAACAGGAGAGAUCUUGACUCGCGGCCUGACACGCGCGCUCGUGGCGCUAGGGCUACCACCAUGCCGUGCCAGGUCGGACCAACUAACUGCGACCCGUGCCGUGAGGUCCGGGGUUGGCCGACUCCACGACCGGGACCUGGUGCUGGCCGGCGGGGGCAUGCAAUCGGCUCUGCGCACCGUUGAUCAGGCAGUGCGACCCCCGUACUCGUCGGAUCCCCGUCACGGUCGGCCGGCAUCGAUCGUUGACGCGUACAUACCUGCUUCGUCGUCUCGUCGACACCUCCGGCGUGCCGGGUGGGGCCGGUGUCAAUGCCCUGGCCCCGUAUCUGACACACCGUGUACGCGCGCGUGGACGUAUGCUAUAGGUCGCUAGCUAGCUCGCCAGUGCCUUUGCGCCUACUCGCCUCGCCCGCCAGCAGCGUUGAAUCAAGCUCGGCUGCAGUGGCUCGGUGACGGUGAGACGUUCACGACAGUGAGAUCGAUGAGGGCGGCUAGUCGAACUGAUGACCGGGGCCGCAAACUGCCGGUCGUUGCGUGCGCAGCAUGCCAGUACACAGUACCCACCAUGUACGCAAUAAAAAUAAGAAAUCAUGCAUGUACCGAUAAAACAAGUGCUAGUGGCGCGCGGUCUGUUGAUGAUAUCUAGGCACGAAGCAGUGUCCGUGGAGGUAAUCAUUGAUUAGGCGUAGCUAACCGGUCAGUGUCUGUUUGACAUCUCAAUAACCUAACCUAGCAGCAAUUCGCCGCCAAAACCGAGUACAUGCUACCACCACCUCUCGCAUAACGGUGGGAGGAGCAUAUCGAUCUGCACGACGGCGAUCUGGAUCCGCGCCGGCGGUGCCUGUGGCCUGUGCCUGCCUGUGCGCGUCAACCGCCGUGCUCGCGACAGGAGAAGUAAAAGCCACGGCGAGAUGCGCGAUGCGUUGGGUCACGGGCUCACGAGCAGCUAGACUGGCAAACGUACAGCACAAUCAUACAGCGCGACGCGAGCGCGAGGAGCUACCUCCCGUGGUACGUACCAGCUACGGUAGCUUCAUAAAUUUCUGCAUCGAUUUUAAACGGCCAGCGAUGACUGUGCGAUCUAGAGCCAUCAGUGGUAACUGAGCGCCCGAGUCUGCUGCUCUGUUGGGAAAUGGUGGCAGAGCGCUGCCAAACCGGCCUGUAUCAGCAUAAAAGAAAAGGAGAACAGCAGAUUUUGCCUAGAUAAAAAAGGGAGAGAAUCUGGGUCAGCUCCUUUGAGUAAGCGAACGACUAUUUCGGUUCGGAGUUUCAGAGUUCAGACACGCUAUCAUUAUCAAGCGGCGAUGAUGUAUAUAUGACGUACCGCCAUGAUUCGCUGCUAGCAUGACAGGUCGUUACGGGAGACGAAGCUGAUGACAAGAUCAUGUGGAAUAAUGAUAAGCUCCAGGCCUCCUUUAACUGCUCAAUGGCCGGAAGACUGGUAGCUAGCUGCAUGUGUUGCCAUAGAUGAUGUUGCGAGAAAGUGGGCGCUUCCUUGCUGACUUCACAACGAGUACCGAGAGCAGAGAGAGCUCCAUUCGCGACGUGAAAGGAAAGUUCAGGAGCACCCACUGCUCGUGCGUAGCUCGCGUUGUCUCUGCUCUUCUUUUUCGUGCUGGUUGCUGCUUUGCUGGGGCAAAGGAAUUUGCCCAAGCCGAGGAUUAUAACAUACUGAUGGAACCAGACAAAAUCCCGCACUAGCAGACUAGCGGUUGACUAUGAAAUUCUGAACACAUCUGCCCGCACUAGUAGUGGGAAUAAUUGACAACGCGUCUGUCAAGUCAAGAUUCCGAGCCCGUCGCGCAUUGUUUACAUGAGAGAUUUCUCUAUGCAGAGGGCAGCAGCAAAAAGGCCGGAGGAAUGUACUAUUCCAUAUUCCACAGGCAGAAUCACUGAAUCAGGGUCAAGUGGAGUCUACAGGCAGAUGAAAUUCGGACUGGUUCCGAUGGUCGCAGAAGUUCGUAGGAACGCGAAGAAAUGAUCGCCAGUUCUUCCCGUGGCCGGUUCAGCUGCCGCCCCAACAUGGCCGUUGCGUUGCUGUGCUCAUCACGUCAGGUUAGCUAAGCUGGACACCACAAGAAAUAAAAACAGAGUCCUGCGUCGUCGUCUCCUCUGGGGGCGACUCGGGGCACCGCGCCGCCGCCGCCCAGCCCCCACCUCCACCGAGCCCUGUGCGGCCGCCGCCGCUAUCCCGGCCGGCAACGGCGGCCAGCAGGCCCGGGCGCAUGGGCGUGCAGCCGGUACGCCGGUAUAGGGCCCCCCAAUUUUCAGGGGCCCAAAAUAUUUCCUACGCAGCCACGCAGGACUGCAGCCCAGCAGGCACCCGGAAGCAAAACACCGUCUCCGCAAGGCCCUAACUCCACCGUCUCGCACGCCUCCACGUCUUGUCUCCCCUCCACGCGAUCACUUUUUUAUUUUCUCGUCCGUCCACGCUAGGGCAGCGACGAAGAACUGUGCCAGCGCCGGCGCCUGGCAGCCUGGGUGGCGAGACAGCGAGCAAUUGAGCGAACCACAAGCCAGCAAGCAAGGAGGCCGGCGACAGGCCUGAGCAGAGAGAGGGAAGGGCAACGGACGUCGUCAGGCAGCCAGCAGGAGCCCUCCGUGUAAGUUAUUUACCAAAUUUUUAUUCCUCAAUUCUGUUAAUGUACCCUUUAAUAAUUAUAAUAGUUAAAUGUUCUUUUCAUCUUUUGUAUGCAUGUUUAUUAAUUUAUCUAGACGUCUAGUGUUUCAAGAUCCAAGCCAUGUCUUUUGCAAAUCGAUUUAGAAAGUACUAGAUAUAUUUGUUGUAAGGAAUCACAAAUGCCCUCUAGUAAUCAAGAAACACCGCAAGAAUAAAACUGUUCAAGUAAAAAUUAUGCAAUGAAGAUUAAAUAGGUACGAUUCUUGAUACAUUCGAUUGCAAUUUAAUACAUUAUACCAUAUACGUCAUUUCUUGUUGUAUUUUGCCGGUCGCUCUUUAAAAUUUUGUACAGGACCUCAGUUUAUGCCGCCCCAGCCCUGUGGCCAGCUACGGGAGGCCGUCGCGUUCCCCUCCCCUCCUCUCCCUUCUCCUCUUUCCCCUUCCCUCUCUUCCUUCCCUCCUCCCCUCCUCACCAGCGUGCGGCGUGGCUAGCGGGGAUUCGGUGGUGGAGUGCCAGAUCUGCGCGUCGGCCGCUGGUCUCGCCCAGAUCUGGUGGUGUCCGCCGCAACUGGUCGGGCGGCGGCAACGUGGCUCGUUAACCUAGGCGCUCGCGGCCUUGGUCGUCAUCGCCGUGGUCCUCCUCGCGGCAACAGCGGUCGGCCUGUUCGCGCUCUUGUGACGUCAGUGGCGUGGGCAGAAGGUCGUCGCGAGUGGCUCGUCGUCCACGGCCGGCGGCGGCACCGAGGCCGUGGCGAAGGUGUCGUCGGCUCACAAGAGCGUGUCGUCAGUGUUAGCGAGGCUCGAGUACUCCAACACCUGGGACCCUCUCGCUGGCACGGGGGACGGUGCCACCGCGGGGCUCGGCUCCCCCUCCUCCUCGCAGGCGACGCCGGAUCCGGUCUUCCUUGGUCUGGAUCCGUGUGGGGGCCCGUCGCGUUGGCCCAUAGGGGUUUCGUCCGUCGGGGAGCCUGCCGCCACUCCAAGAAGCCCGAUCUGCGCCGCCGCGGGUGGCUGCUCGUCGGGGAGCCGGCCCCACGCCACUGCUCCCGCGGGGGACAUGACGUCGAGGGCCCGGCACGCGCCGCUAGGGCCUCAUCCAUGACGCUGGGCGGUGACCGCCGUCGCCAUUGCCGGGUCCGGUGUUGCCGAAUCGCCUCCCAUUGGCGCAGUCUGCCCUCCCGGGGCCCGCGUGCUGCCGCUACAUGUCGCUGCCGCUCCCUCCACUCCUCGUCGUCGCCUGUAAGAGGGCGACUGCGGGGAUUUCCAGCCGGGGCAGCGCGCGCUCCAAGGUCGCUUCUUUCUCUUCCUUCUCCUCCUCCUCCCUUCACCCCACCUCACCCUGGUCGUGUUCAGGUCGCUUUUCAAGGAUGGCCCGGGGGUGACCCGAUUGACGCCGGUGCCUCCCGCCCUGCCGCUAUGGGUCGCUCGCUCUUGGGUUGCUUGCUCUUCUGUUGAUGGUUGUCACUCGUGGGGCCAUGCCUCCUCCAGCCAUUUUCUUCGCUGGCAGGGAUGAGAGGAUGGGUCUUCGUCUUCCCCAUGGUGCUUCGGGUCGCCACCUCAUCGUCGAGUGUUGCUGGGAGGAGAGCGGGCUUCGGCUCCACUCCUCUCCCUCCUGGUCGUCUUUUGGUCAUCGCGGUCGCCCGUGGUCAUCUUUGAGUCAUCGUGAUGGCGGUCGUUGGUCUGCGGAUGUUCCCCAUCGUCAUUGUUGUGGACUGCUCGCUGCCAUUCCAUCGAUUUGGCUCUCAUUCAGGCCUUGGCGGUCUGCUGCGUGGAGUUGGUUCUGGGGGCUUUAGCGAAAGUUUUGCCCGGUUUUCGCCGGUGCCAACAACGAUUGCAUUCCUUAACGUAGCUCACCUCGAUGAGGACAUUGUUGCGGCCACCAAAUCCAUUUGGUUUUGCCAGGUGAAGACUUGGUCUAAUCCUCCGUGGACAGAUGGACGAUGGCGGCGUUGGUGUCGCUUCCCCCUUGGAGCAUCGUCUUGCAUGACAUUCUCGCUCUACGUGCGCUGACUCCGGGUUAUUAGGCAAUCGGUGCUGUGCAUGUGUUUAUGGUGGGUCAUGUUUAAUGUUGUGGUGGUGCGGUGGCUUCCUUUUUCUGUUGUUGUGUUUAUGUUCCAUGUCGCAGAUGGUGGUUCUUGUAUCUCUGCACAUUGGAGUUUCUCUUGAAGUUGCAUCGUUGUAACUAAACUCUAAGAAAAAUGUGCACGUCUAUUAGGUAAGCUAACGGCAUAAUUGCUGUAGCCCUAAUUGUGUAGGAAAAAAUGGUAACUAAAAUAUGGAUGAAUAAAUCAUGCACGUAUCAUAUUCAAAAUGUUCACAUGCCUAUUUCUUUAUAUUUCGUGUUAAAUAAAAGCCACAUCUAGAUGAUUGCAUGUCAAUCUAUACUUAUAUUAGCUCGCCAAAAAAAAGUUACAAAUCACUCGAGUAAAUUUGAUUUUUGCUUUUCGAUCGAUUUUUCUUACUUGCCUUCAGCAGGUGAAGCUGGGGCUGUUUGCCGGGUCCGCUAGUGCUGUCGGCCUGCGGCCCAUAACUCCACCUCAAAAAAAAAG
RNAcentral lists this long non-coding RNA (53072 nucleotides) under Setaria viridis. RNAcentral describes it as "long non-coding RNA (SVIR_LNC011109)". The record is from RNAcentral. Lineage: Eukaryota; Viridiplantae; Streptophyta; Magnoliopsida; Poales; Poaceae.